This 62567-nucleotide long non-coding RNA is filed under the name Eucalyptus grandis. RNAcentral's name for it is "long non-coding RNA (EGRA_LNC006116)". Lineage: Eukaryota; Viridiplantae; Streptophyta; Magnoliopsida; Myrtales; Myrtaceae. The record is from RNAcentral.
CCGUCCGAAGCGCCCUUGACUUUUGAACUUCGCGGGGUUUUGCGCUGACUUCUUCGUCCUCCCCUCGCUCUGAACUCUGCAAGUAAGCCCUAAAGAUUCCAUCUUUCUGAGAUUCUCUCGCCCCCUCCCUCUUUCCAUGUCAUGCAAGCAUCGGAUAUGAGAGCCUUGAGAACGCUCUGCACCCACAAUCACCUCCUCCAUCCCACCUCCAAACCCACAUCCCUCGCCUCCUUCAAGCCCCUCCAGAACCCCCGUCUCUACCGCGGCAUCCACUCCACGAAUCGCCGCCUCCUCUCUCGAGACCCCGGCCUCGCGCCCUUGCCCUCGGGCUCCGAGUCGGAGGCCAGCGACGCCGCCCCCGCUGUCGGCAACGUCCACGACCCUUCUGCCCGCUGGGUCAGAGCAGCGGCGGGGAAGCUGGGUCGGGUCCCGAGAGCGAGGCAAGGAGCAGGAAUGGCGAAAUUCCCGAAGAAAGGAAGUAUUUUGGAGGUGGUAGGAGCUCGUAUGGCGGGAGCGGUAAGAAGGGGAAGAAGAGGAGUUGUUGGGUUUGUUCGGAAUGUGGGUACACGGAUGGACAGUGGUGGGGUUCGUGCAGGUCGUGCCGUAGCGCCGGGACGAUGAAGCAGUUCACGGUGGAGGAGAACGGUGGCGGGAGCGAGAAAGUGAGGGGCUUCCAGGUGUCGGAGAAUGUGGUGAGGACGUGGCUGCCGCAGCGGGCUGGCGAGGUGCGGCCGCUGCGUUUGACGGAUGUGAAUAGGGGGUUGAAUCAGUUAGAGUGGCGGAUUCCUCUGUAAGUUUGUUCUGUUCUGGGAAAUGAGUAAGUGGUCAGCUUUGGACCCUAUAUGCAGCUGCUACAGAAAGAUAAAUAGUUGAAGAAAGUUGUUGUCGAGUUGAUUUUAUUGUCUUAUCUACAUUUGACAUAAUAAUUUACUUCGAAACAUCUUUCCAGGAGUUGGAUCAUAGAGCGUAUCUUGUGAUUCUGAUGAAAUUUUGCCGGAAUGAUAGUAUAUUUCCUUUUCUUUAGUAAUACGAGAGUGAUGAUAUGACCUUUGGUCCUGAUGACAAUCUGUUGUCCACCUCGAUGAAACCAUCCAUGCUGGUUAUUGUAACACAUUAGUGCUUCUGUUAAUUUAUUUUGAAAGAAACGUGCAUGUCGCUCUAAUUCCUUAAAGUAAAUGAUUUCUUGGGGUGCUUGAUGUUUAGGUAUGGACCCUUUGGAGAGGAGGUUUCGAGAGUGCUAGGCGGUGGUCUUGUGCCAGGUUCGACCUACUUUUUUGCUGUAUGGUCCGCACAGAUCUGCUGCUGUACUAGAACUUUCACUUGAGAUGUAUGGAAGUUUUGAAGAUCUUGAUUUUAUCAAAGCUAUUGAUUUUGCUGCAUUGUGGCUCUAAAGGUUCCUUAAUUUUGGUGGGAGGUGAUCCUGGUGUUGGCAAGAGUACCCUGUUGCUGCAGGUAAUGUAUUUAGAUGAUACUUUAAAUAUUCAUAAAAUAUUUGGGUCACUUUGAUGCCACGAUAUAGCACCCUUGCUUCACCCAUAAUUGGGUCCGCAGCAAGAUUUCAGCUUAUAAUACCGACAGGUACAAAGUUUCCCUCAUAGACAUGAAAAGCAAGCAAAUUCCAACAAAUUUUCCACUCCAAAAGUGAUGCAGCAUCAGCUGAAAUUUUACUCGAUUUUCAUGAGGCUUCCAUCCGAUUACUAUUUUUCAAUUGACAUUCUCAUUGCAUGCAGCGAGUGAUUUAGGACCUUAAAGGCUUGGACUUGGUCUUGGUCCUCAUAUUGCAGCUACAAACGCUUCCAAAUCCAUGCAGUGUGCAAGAGAGUCCCACCAACUUGCUUUUUCGUGCUUAAGACCUCUUUAAUCAAUUUCAUUACAGUUUGAGAGUUACUCCCCAACUUUGAAUUUUUUAGUAUAACUAAACAAGACACUAAAUGAUGUUCCAUCUAAAGAGAAAAAUGGGAACAUUCCAAAACACGAAUCAUCAGCACAGAUUAAUAGCUCCUUUUGAGAGAGCCUUGAUUUACAUAGGCUGGCCACUAACAGUAUGCAAAUGUUAAGACAAUUUGUCCAUAUUUAAAGCAAGCUCCUGAAUAGAUGAGAAAAAUUCAUGACUUCUCUGGACUAAGAUGGAUGUGCUGAAAAGCAUGGGUAACAUCGAAAUGUGGCACCAAAAAAAUUUCUAAAGAGAAAAAUAUAUGAGAGCAUCAACGUACAAAAAGAGGUAAGAAAAGCAAUCCACCUUUCUUAUAUCUAUAAAGUGGAAGUCAAGCUGGUCUCUGAACAUGACAAAACAGGAGUCGAAUGCAGAGAUAUAUCUAUUGGUCAAAUGGAGCCCGAAAAUGAACAUAAUCUCUUUAGGAAUCCAAAACACAUCAAAGAGCUUUUCUAGAGCAAUUAUUCAAUCCCACAAUGUUCCACCAUCAUGAAGCACAACAAUUCUUGAUUUUUUACAAAUGGAGUAGGAACACAUACCAACUUGACAAACGCAGGAUCAGAUGAUCUUAACGUAAGUGCUAGUUUUAUGGCAAGUAGCCAGUAAGGGAAGCCCCCAAAAUCCCACCCUGCAUCAAUGUGUACCCAUCGGGAUUAUUCCACCAUAUAAACGGGGAAGCAAGGAAAAUUGGAAUGCCAUCAUAUCGCAGAUAUUGCUAAUUAAUGCGCCUAAGGAAACACUAGCGCCCCUAUUGCAAAGAUAUAGAACAUAAACAGCAAGUAGUGUUAAGAGAUCAUAUUCAUUUCGAAGAAUUGUAUUUCUCCGCUCCAAUUGGAAGUCUAAAAUUUACUUUUUUGAACGAAUGUAAACAUCUCCUAUUGCCAACAAAAAAAGGAUCAUACUUGUUUGUUCUUGCAUAAAAAAAAAACUUCGAACAUGACAACAUAUCUGAAGAUGAGCCAUAUAUUGAGUUACAAUGGACGAGAUUUAGCAAUCUCCAUUACAAAUUUAACAUGCAAAGAUGCUUUGGUAAGGAAGUCAGAAAAGAAGAGCGUUUGGAAUCCAGAGUAUGUAUUUAUUAAUAAUCAUGCUUUUCUAACUACUAGCACAUAAAAAUAAAGGAACCAGUCAGAAACCACCUUUGCUCUGUUGAGCCAACUAUGCUCUCUAGAAUUGACUCUUCACAAAGAAUAGAAGAUUAAAGCACACGUGAUGCCUAAAUUUAUUUUGCCAAGCUAACAGAAUGCAUGAAGUCAUGGUCUUAGAGCAUUUCCAACACUUAAGACUAAAAUGGCACAGAACUACCUGUCAGCCAACAUGGCAUGCUUAAUUAAGUGCUAAAAGUCAAGUAUCUCUUCUUUGAGAGUAUGAGGACAGCAACUGAGAGUAUUGCUCUAAUUUAGUGGAAAGCAUGAGACACGAACUAUUCAUUGACCGUAUAUAACAUAGAAAUAAAGGAAUAGCACAGACCCGAAGGAAUAACUAGAUCUGCUAUUUGCAUAUAUGCACUCACAGACUCAAUCACGCAAAUGAUGUUUAAUCCUUAAGAGUCCUAAAUAGUGGAACAGAUUCGGUAGAUAAAUUAUUCGAGGAAAUAUGCACCACAUAUUUUUUGGCUGCAACAAAGUAGAAGACACAGAUGCAAGUCAGUCCUACGUGGAGGCAUAAACUUCAUCUCAUCUAUAAAAGGAAACAACUGAGAAUUCACCAGUCGGGACAGUCCCGAAUGAUGUAUUUUGAAAAUCGAAUGAACAACGAAGGUCUUCAAGUUGACCAUCAAUUAGAGAUGUCACGUUUUAUAUCUUACUGGACUUAGAACAGACAAAAUCCUGUUAUGUCCAAUAAACUGUCUAAGGUCAGCAAUUCAUACUCUUCACAGCUCCACAGAAACAAGAAGAGAAAAUAAGAAAAAGUGUCCUACUUCCACGAUUUUUUCGUUUUUGCUAAAAUGCUACCUCCACUUACUUGUGCACGAAAUCAAAUACGCGUGACUGAUGACCCUCUUGUAAUGGAAGAGACACCCAUCGCCAAGGUCCAAAAUGGAAUGACAGUUAUGGGUUAAAUAUGCUGAAAGCAUGCCAUGGCUUAAUAAGGCCAUGUCAAUCCAAUGUCCACUUCAGAGUCAAGACAAGGGCAGCAAACACUUCAACGUAGAUUAACAAGUUUUAAAGCACCAAUAAGAAGAUUCUGGCCCUCACCUGCACAUAUAUAAGGGCCUACUCGAAGCAUAACCAGGAGAUCAAGCUUCUUGUACAAGUUGAGAAAAGAUUUUAUAUGUGCAAUUCCCUCAAAGACUGUCUCCCCCGGUUUCGGUUCAUGCAGAUUCCAAGGAACAUAUGUCUGGAUAGUGUUCAAACAUAGGGCUUUUGCUCUCAGCAAUCUGUCUUCCCAAUACUGCAUGCACAAUAAAUGCCCAAGUGUAAUUGAUUCGUUAAAUGGAAGUGGGCAAAGUUUGCUUCAAGCAAAGAAUCCUUCUAGUCAGCAUUGAAAGAAGAUGCUGAAUUAUAUUAAGACGUGAACAAGUCCUUCAGUGAGGGGCUCCCUGAAUUUGUCAUGGAGCUCUAGAUUUUAUUGCUUCCUGAUGGAGCAGAAAGUCAUAUUCUAAAACAAUCUCAAGUUCAAAGUUGCCUUCUAGCUAAAUUAGAUGCAUUACCACAUGCAGUAAUACUGCUUCAGAUAUGGCCAAUACAACACAGCUUCUCUUCUUAAAAAAGUGCAUCUCCACAUAGAAAGGAGAACUAUUUGUGAGUAGCAUUUGGAAAAAAGCAUAUAUAACAAUUGUCACAAAAACCCAUUGUAAUCUAAUCACAUGAGUAAGAAGAACGACUAAAGGAAAGAAACGAAAAUACGUCCGGGAGCACCCGGAAAUAAUGAACAUCUCCACCGAUUAUCUGAAAGGGAUAGCCAUCUUUCCAGAACUUGUCACUGUCGAUCUCAAAUUUCCAACUACUGGACUGAUUAAAGUAAAUUGCAAUUAGACUCAGGUACAGAAGCAACCCAACUGAAAUUCAACCAUGCACGAUAGGGAUUUACAAUCAAAGACAGGUAGUGUCGACGAAAGUGAGAUGCUCACUGUGAACGAGCAGAAUAAACCAAAAACUAAACUACAAUCACAUUGCAAAACCGCUUUUUCAAUCGGUGAACAUAAUCUAGAAAGGUGGACACAAAGAAGCAGGAACUUGCAGCUUAAGGCAGCUCCGAUAAGCGAAAGUCCUCUUAAACGAAGUUAAACACAACACUUGAAAGGAGAAACUAUCAACGUACGCUAGCAUCGAUGAAUUAGAACGAACAGCUACAUUACGGUCCGAUGACAAGUAAAUUACUGCAGCUGACUCACUGAUCAGCAGCAUUUAAAGUCGGCCAUUGCCUAGACACAGCAAAGCGACUAGAACGGACAGUUUUAAGUCAUUCCAGACGGUCGAUCGUGCGCCAAGCGUUGAACACGCGACGCUAACAAAACGCGUUGCUGGUGGCCGUGCGAGCUGGCAUGCCCGUACAAGUGGUCGUUCUGGACAAUUACAUUCCCACUGCGACAUGGAUUUUAAUCUCAAUUAUCCACGUCAUCAUAGUGGUGUUUGUUAAUUUUUCCGUCUUUUCCUGAGAGAGCAUGUCUGAUCGAAGAUCAAGGCAUUUCAAGCCCGGUCGAGAUUAUCCAAGUUCUGCGCCAAAUUGGUCAUCGGGAAUGGGUUCGGACCCUUCAAAUUCCUUCUUUCAGCAUCGAAUCAUGUCUCGAUUGAAUAUCUUCGGCGGUUCAUUGGAAGAGCACAAACGAGGUUCAAGAUCAAUUUGACAUAUCAACUUUGCUCAUCACUUGCUUUUCCAUAUUUUUCAAGGAGACAAAGGUAAUAGUACCGGAUUUAACUUUCUCUAUCGAAUAUUUCGCCUGUCGUGCUUAAGAUUUCGUUCCCAAGUCAUUUUUCACAUGGCUGAAAUUUGCACAUGGAAUUGUUCUCCGGAUCCAACUUUUCCCCAACCACGAUCUCUUUUACAAGGAAGCAAAUCUGGUGAAUUCCUGGUGGUCCCUAGCUUUUACUCACGCUGGUCUCUCGUUUUGUUUUUCGUUUUUCGGUUUUUUUUUUUCUUUAUUAUCUCCUUGCUACUUUCGAAAAGUUCUUGGUGCCCUCCAAGUCCCUGUCUUUUUCUUGUUCUUCUUCUUUUUUUUCUCAACGAGUAGAAUUUCCUCGUCACCUUUUAUUCUAGAAACUCACCUUUUCGCGUCGAAUAUACCCAUGCAAAAUUUUCUUUCUCUUCGUCGCGCAAAGAGUUUUUCCAUAUUUCUAUGAUAAUCAAAUGGGGAGUUUAUGAGAUUGUUGUUACUCUUCAUAAAUUGAUUUGGGAUAUUUACCAAAGAAUUUGUGAAUAAGCGACGUCAACAAUGAAAUGUGGAAAAUUCUGUAUUUUCAGAGUACUAAUUUUUUUUUCUUAUUGAUGUGUGUAAUUAGUUUGAUUUUCAAGACUUGAAACUUUCCUAAUAAGGCAUGACGACGCAUCUGAUUCAUGAUUGACUUCGUGGGGAGUGAGGAUAGUGUAGCUUAAUUAUGCUUCUUAAGCCAAAAAGCCCAUUUCGUAUUUCUGCCAGCGGAAGAUAUCAUUAUCUCAAGAAAAAAGAUUCGAAGCAUGCUAAAUGUCAAAUAAAAGUCCGAUUUCGAGAAAGAAAGAAGUCGAAGAGUAAAAGGGAAAGGAAGAAGGAGAAGAAAUUGAUGAAAUUCUUUCAAUUAAGAAAGCCCAUUUUGAAUUUCUGCUAAAAGGAGAAAUCAUUAUCUCAAUCCAAAAGAAGAAAAAAAAUUAAAAAGAUCGGAAGCACGCUAAACGUCAAAUAAAAGUCCGAUUUCCAUAAAGAAAGAAGAAAGGUUGAAGGAGAAGAAAUUGAUGAAAUUCUUUCAUUGAAGCUUCCGCCCUAACCGCUUGAAAAUUGAAGUUCGAUAUGCAAUUCCAAGGAAUCCACAAGCGAAUCUUUUUCUAACGAUUUUGUCUUGUUCCGACCUUGUUCUCUCACGUGCUGCAUCGAUUGACAUUGUUCCUUCCCUUACGAACAUGCGCUCAUUCCACGUGAUGAUAAUAAAAGAAAAAACCUUAGCCGCAAACAAUCGAGCAAACGCUGUCGCGACCGGGGCAGUGUCUCGCAUCAGACACUUGAAUUUUCCGGGAAUCUGUCGAAAACGAUUCGCGGCCAUGCCUCCCACACGAGCUAUUAAUUACGGGGAGGAAAAAUCCCAUAAAUUGUUGGCAAAUGAAGCCUAAGGACCUAUGACCAAAAGAAAAAGAAAAAAAAAAGUAACGACCUUCAUCUUCAUCUUCAGGUAGCUUUCACGAGUUUGUUCACAUGCAUAUGGGAUCGGCAUCCUAUGUCCGCGUUUCCCCUACAACAAUUUAAUAUGCCUAAAAGACAUUUUCUCCAUCCGCAGAGCCCUAAAAGUACUAACCCCAAAACUAGCCACCCUUUCGACCACCCUUUCGACCACCCAUUGCAGAUUUCCUCUUCCUGAUAAUUCCAAAAAGAAUAGAGCAAAUAAUCAAAUAACCAGCAAACGUUCGUGGAAUUGAAAAUAUUUUUCAGCGCUCUAGUGCACUGGAUUAAAUAGAUCCUCUUUCUUUUUCUUUUCAUUUUUCUCGUUUUAGUGUGUGCGUUGGGGGUGGGGGAUGACGACAUGCAUUUUAAUGACAAUAAAAAGUGCCUGAGCAACUUGGAAGGGGGAGGUGAGGGGUUCAAAUCCCCACCUUCUCAGGGGGGAUUGGGGUGGGGACAAUUUCAUUUAAAGAGUGGGUUUCGACUCCCACGCUCUACAAGGAGGCAAGACAAAAGUCUGAGAGUGAGUGUUAAAGUAUGAUUAGAGUAUGACCGAUAAAAAAAAAAAACGUGCCUGAGCAGUAAUUGUAAAAUAUGGGUUUUGACCCAGUCAAAAAUAAAAAUAAAAUAAAAAAGAAAAAGGUAGAAGCUUCAGGAGAGAGAGAGAGAGAGAGAGAGAGAGAGAGAGAGAGAGGGGGGGAUCGAGAGUUUUCGGGAGAGGGAAAAGAGGAGAGAGAGAGAGGAAGAAAAGAUAGAAAGAAAAAAUAAAGGAAAAAGAAAAGAAAAAGAAGGAGAUAAAAGGGAAAGAGAGAAGGAAAGAAGGGGAGAGAGAGGGACGGCAAAGAGCUCGAACACUGAGAGAAGAAGAAAGAGAGAAAGAAGAAGAAGAAGAUGAUAAAAGAAAAAGAAGGGCUUCGCACAUUCUCGUCAUGGGAGCCUCGUCAAGCCACAUUAAUUACGUAAGGCAACGCUCGGUAAAUACCCGUGCUCCCUCUUCGUUCAGUCGGAGUAAUUUUGGAUCUAGGGCUUGAAAUUCGGAAUUUUGGGAAAAUCGAGCGACGGAGUAUAAUUUUUGAGUUGUUGAGCUGCGUAUUUUUGUAGAAAUGAUAACUUGGGAUGUUGUGGAGCUGUGGAUUUUACAGAUCGUAAUUUGAACUUACGGUUUGCCCAAAACAAAAUUUUGAAGUUUAUUGCGCGUGAUGAACAGUGCAUGACCAGAAUUUCAGAGCUAUAUUUUGUUGAUUUUCAGCUUGAUUUUGAGUUGGCUAAAUAGGGGGUUCUUGUAGUAUGUUGGAUGAGUUUUUCAUUGAUUAUAAGUGUGCUUUUAACGGAGUACAAUGGAGAAAAUUAUGGCAUGAUGAAGUUUUGUGCUCGCACUUCACGCUAAGGACGGGUUUGAGUAAUUGUUUUGGUUGAGUGAUUUAUUAGCGUGUAUGUGUCGUUUUAUCGAUGAUUUAACAUAAUUUAGUCAAGUUGUUAGUUGGAGAGUGGCAUAUUACCUGGUUUUAAUAUCGUUUUCGAUUCACUAAUAAGAAUACGAGUGCAUUGGCUCAAGUAACCACAUAGGUUGAUUUUCGACUUUUCCAGGUGAGUGGUGCUAUCUCUUCUAAGAAUUUAUAAGCUCAUGUCUUCAAAAUGAUAAAGAUUCGAUAUUUUAUGAGUUAUAAAUAAGCAUGUUUAUUUUACCAAAAAAAAAGCAUGUUUAUUGCAUAAAAGUUGGAUCGGGCAUUUACUAAGUUUUGAUAUUUGAAAAUAGUGUGUGAACAUUUUAUCAAUAUAUAUAUUAUGUUUAAUGAACAAAGUUGAAAAAAAUUACAUGUUUGGGUUUGUGAAAUCAUUUCAAGAAAAGCUCAACUUUGAGAUGAUUUAUGGAAUGUUAUAUAGAUAUUGGUUUGUGAUAAACUUUUUGAGAUGUAUUUGAUUUGAAAUUGAUUUAUGAGACAGGUCUUGAAAUUAUUUGAGAAUGUUUUAUGGAAAGUAUUUUUGGCGGAUAAGUUGAGUUGCGAAAUCUUUUCGUGAUAUAUGAAAUGUUUUAUGAAUUUGGUUUGAGAAUUAUGGAUGGUGUGGUUCUGGAUUAUUGUGGAUGUUCAAUAUCACUGUGAGCCCAACGAGGGGCUUGUAGGUAUGCGCAUACUAUUCUAGGAUAUUCUUGUGAGUUGAGGCACCGACUAAUAAUAAACGGAGACCUUGCUAAAGGUGGAAUCUUGGCCGUCUCGUCACCAAGCGUUGUAUCGUGACCAUGGUUUGAUAUUAAGUAACAGAUUGGUCAAUGGAGUGGACCAUUGACAUGUGAUAUGAGUUGGCUCGAUGAAUAGACCAUUGACGUGUAAUUUGAGAUUAGUCGUAGGAAUGGACUAUCAACGUGUAAUUUGAGAUUAGUCAUUGGAAUUGACCAUCGACAUGUAAUUUCAAUUAAAUUAUCGAUGUGUGGUUUGAUAAGAUUAAUCAAUGAAAUAGACCAUUGAUACAUGUUUUAUAAGAUUGACCAAUGGGUUAGAUCAUUGGCAUUUGCCUAUUAUUAUAUUGAAUAUUUUUGCUUUAAACAUAUUGUGUUAAAGUAAGAAAUGUUAUAUUUUCGUCCUGAAUGUUUGUUAAAUUUCUAGAUUUGCUGUGGUAUAAGAUUAACAAAUGGAAUGGACCAUUAGCGUGUGAAUUAAUGAGAUUGAUCAGUGGAUUAGACCACUAUAAAUAUAGCUAUGUUGAAGCGUAUGUAACUUAUUCUGUUUACUGUAUGUUUGUUAUAUCCUAAAUUUGAGUUAAAAGAGUUUUAAUUUGGUUUUGUAAAUAUGCAUUGUGGGUGCUCGAUCCGUUUUGGAAGAGAUGCACUACUCACUGAGCCGUGGUUGCUCACCCCUCUAUUUUCCAAUCUUUUUCAGGUUUAUCGACUAACGAUGAGUAGAUCCGAGAGCGAUAUGGAUGUGGAAACUUUUAAGAGUUGAAUUUUGGGAGCUUUGAGGGCCACGUCUUUGAGUGGAAGGACGACCGUGUCAUCCCGUUCUUGUUGAUUUUGGGGUGUGAUGGUAAUUGCUUUCUUCAUUGCUUGAUCAAUGGUGUGUUGCAUCUCUGCAAUAAAUUGCAUCCAGAGUGUUUUGCACUCCUAGGGCGUGAUCAGUGUUUCAUAGGAAGGAAUCUACAAUUAAACUAUGAAUGUAAGUGCUCUCACCAAAUUGAAGAUCUCCAUUAAUUAGAACCAGCAUGAUAAAAGUAAAACUCAUAUCUUCCCACGUGCUUAAAGCCAAGCAAUCUAUGCUCCCGUUGGUGGCAUGAGGUUUGUUGUCCAACAAUCAAACCAACAAAAGUUGUUUAAUAUUAUCCUUCUCACCAUCCAAACGAAUUGCCGCCAUCGCAGAUAGCAACCUUAAUGACUGUAAGCGUCAUUGAAUCGUUUCUUGUGAAAGAUCCACAGGCAAGCAACUGGAGAAACAUGAAAAAUAUUUGCCGCAUAUAAAUUUUGCAUACUACCAAACGAGCUUGUCGUGCGAUAUCUCAAAUAUCCUCCCUACUCCUCCAGACUCUAUCCACAUAGUCAACAUCAUGGCUGAACAGUAGCAAAACUAGAUAGAAAAUGAAGCGGGUUUCAGGUACUAUUGAAUCUAACCGACGAGUAAAUUGCAAACUUAAAGAUGCCUACCACUCCUUCAUUAGCUCAACGACCCUUUGAGGUACUUUAUUUGCUUGCUCUUUUUUGUACGACAGAUCUUCCAUAAUCUUUCAUAACAUUCAGCCUUCCUUCCUUCAUCUGUUGAUCCAUCUCAUAAGAAGAGAGGGCACUAGAGAACCAACUUAUGACCAACAUAGUCUCGCGCCUCUCUUUACAGAUGAAGGGCUUUUCCCUUUUUUACUUAAUGGUGGUUGAUGGGAUCUGCACGAAUUAUAUCAUGUUUUUAUAGGCAAGACUGAAGGAAGCAUUGUUUUGACCAGUGGAAACUCUUUUGAAGGGAGCUACUAGUGAAACCUAGUCGGCCAUCAGGACACUUCUUUCGCGCGAGACUAUGUUGGUCAUAAGUCGGUUCUUUAGUGCCCUCUCUUCUUAUGAGAUGGAUCAACAGACGAAGGAAUGAAGGCUGGACGUUAUGAAAGAUUAUGGAAGGUCUGUCGUACGAAAAAGAGCAAGCAAAUAAAAUAUCUCAAAGGGUCGUUGAGCUAAUGAAGGAGUGGUAGGCAUCUUUAAGUUCGCGAUUUACUCAUCGAUUAGAUUCAAUAGUACUUGAAAUCCGCUUCAUUUUCUAUCUAGUUUUACUACACUGUUCAGCCAUGAUGUUGACUAUAUGGAUAGAGUUUGGAGAAGUAGGGAGGAUGUUUGAGAUAUCGUACGACAAGCUCAUUUAGCAGUAUGCAAAAUUUAUAUGCGGCAAAUAUUUUUCAUGUUUCUCCAGUUGCUUGCUUGUGGAUCUUUCACAGGAAACGAUUCAAUGGCACUUGCAGUCAUUAAGGUUGUUGUCUGCGAUGGCGGCAAUUCGUUUGAAUGGUGAGAAGGAUAAUAUCGAACAACUUUUGUUGGUUUGGUUGUUGGACAACAAACCUCAUGCCACCGACGGGAGCAUAGAUCGCUUGGCUUUAAGCACAUGGGAAGAUGUGAGUUGUGUUUAUCGUGCGGGUUCUAAUUAAUGGAGAUCUUCAAUUUGGUGAGAGCACUUACAUUCAUUGUUUAAUUGUAGAUUCCUUUGUCCGAAACACUGAUCACGCCCCAGGAGUGCAAAACACUCUGGAUGCAAUUUAUUGCAAAGACGCAGCACACCGUUGAUCGAGCAGUGAAGGAAGCAAUUACCAUCACACCCCAAAAUCAACAAGAACGGGGGAUGACACGGUCGUCCUUCCACUCAAAGGACGUAGCCUCAAAGCUCCCAAAAUCCAACUCUUAAAAGUUUCCACAUCCAUAUCGCUCUCGGAUCUACUCAUCGUUAGUCGAUGAACCUGAAAAAGAUUGGAAAAUAGAGGGGUGAGCAACCACGGCUCAGUGAGUAGAGCAUCUCUUCUAAACGGAUCGAGCACCCACUAUGCAUAUUUACAAAACCACAUUACAACUCUUUUAACUCAAAUUUAGGAUAAAACAAACAUACAGUAAAAAGAAUAAGUUACAUACGCUUCCACAUGGUUAUAUUUAUAGUGGUCUAAUCCACUGAUCAAUCUCAUUAAUUCACACGCUAAUGGUCAAUUCCAUUUGUUAAUCUUAUACCACAUCAAACCCAGAAAUUUAACAAACCUUCAGGGCCAAAAUAUAACAUUUCUUACUUUAACACAAUAUGUUCAAAGCAAAAAUAUUCAAGAUAAUAAUAGGCAAAUGCCAAUGGUCUAACCCAUUGGUCAAUCUCAUAAAACAUGUAUCAAUGGUCUAUUCCAUUGAUUAAUCUCAUCAAACCACACAUCGAUAAUUUAAUUGAAAUUACACGUUGAUGGUCCAUUCCUACGACUAAUCUCAAAUUACACGUCGAUAGUUCAUUCCAUCAACCCAACUCAUAUCACAUGUUAAUGGUCCACUCCAUUGACCAAUCUAUUACUCAAUAUCAAACCAUGGUCACGAUACAACGCCUGGUGACGAGGUAACCAAGAUUCCACCCUUGGCAAGGUCUCUGUUUAUUAUUAGCCGAUGCCUCAGCCCACAAGGAUAUCCUAAAAUAGUAUUCGCAUACUCACAAGCCUUUCCCUGGGCUCACAGUGAUAUUGAACAUCCACAAUAAUCCAAAACCACACCAUCCAUAAUUCUCAAACCAAAUUCAUAAAAUAUUUCAUAUAUCACGAAAAGAUUUCGCAACUCAACUUAUCCACCAAAAAUACUUUCCAUAAAACAUUCUCAAAUAAUUUCAAGAUCUGUCUCAUAAAUCAAUUUCAAAUCAAAUACAUCUCAAAAAGUUUAUCACAAAUCAAUAUCUAUAUAACCUUCCAUAAAUCAUCUCAAAGUUGAGCUUUUCGUGAAAUGAUUUCACAAACCCAAAACAUGUAAUUUUUCUCAACUUCGUUCAUCAAACCGAAUAUAUAUUGAUAAAACAUUCACACACUAUUUUCAAAUAUCAAAACUUAGUAAAUGCCCAAUCCAACUUUUAUGCAAUAAACAUACUUAUUUUUAACUCAUAAAAUAUCGAAUCUUUAUCAUUUUGAAGACAUGAGCUUAUAAAUUCUUAGAAGAGAUAGCACCACUCACCUGGAAAAGUCGAAAAUCAACCUAUGUGGUUACUUGAGCCAACGCACUCAUAUUUCUAUUAAUAAAUCGAAAACGAUAUUAAAACCAAGUAAUAUGCCACGCUCCAACUAACGACUCGACUAAAUUAUGUUAAAACAUCGAUAAAACGACACCUGCACACUAAUAAAUCACUCAACCAAAACAAUUACUCAAACCCGUCCUUAGCGUGAAGUGCGAGCACGAAACUUCAUCACACCAUAAUUUUCUCCAUCAAACUCCGUUAAAAGCGCACUUAUAAUCAAUUAAAAACUCAUCCAACAUACUACAAGAAUCCCAAUUUAGCCAACCCAAAAUCAAGCCGAAAAUCAACAAAAUAUAGCUCUGAAAUUCUGGUCGUGCAUUGUUCAUCACACGCAGUUAACUUCAAAAUUUUGUUUCGGGCAAAUUACGAUCCGUAAAAUCCCAUAGCUCCACAACAUCCUAAGUUAUCAUUUCUACAAAAAUACACAGCUUAACGACUCAAAAAUCAUAAUUCGUCGCUCGAUUUUCCCAAAAUUCCAAAUUUCAAGCCCUAGGUCCAAAAUUACUCCGACUAAACGAAGAGGGAGCACGAGUAUUUACCGAGCGUUGCCUUACGUAAUUAAUGUGGCUUGACGAGGCUCCCAUGAUGAGAACGCGCGAAGCCCCUCUUUUUCUUUUAUCUUCUUCUUCUUCUUCUUUCUCUCUUUCUUCUUCUCUAUGUGUUCGAGCUCUUUACCGUCCCUCUCUCUCCCCUUCUUUCCUUCUCUCUUUCCCUUUUAUCUCCUUCUUUUUCUUUUCUUUUUCCUUUAUUUUUUUCUUUAUGUCUUUUCUUCCUCUCUCUCUCUCCUCUUUUCCCACUCCCGAAAACUCUCGAUUCCCCUCUCUCUCUCUCUCUCUCUCUCUCUCUCUGCUAAAGCUUCUACCUUUUUCUUUUUCUUUUUUUUUGACUGGGUCAAAACCCAUAUUUUACAAUUACUGCUCAGGCACGUUUUAUUGUCAUUAAGGGCGUGCAUGUUUUUAUUUCUCGAAUCUGUUUAAGAACAGAUUUUGUGUUUUUUUGUUUUUUUGUUCCCGGAACAAAAUUGAAACAAAAAAAAAAAAAAACAAAAAAAACUUACUUCUGAGAUCCAGAAACACUUCUUGAAGGCCUAAAAAGAACAAAAAUAAAAGAACAAAACCGGAACACUUCUGGAGGUGGGUUCGUUCGUGCCCGAAGGCUUUCGUUCGUGCUCUCCCUUUUCUGGUAUCUCUCCCUUCUCUCCGGCACCUCCCACUCGGCUGACUCUCCGGCAACUCCCCACUCCGCCGACUCUCCGGCGCCUCCCCACUCGGCCGACUCUCCAGCGCCGACAGGUGCUGCUCCUUGACCAGCUGAAGCUUCUGAAUCCAGGUAAGUUUCUGCUGCUCCUCCUUCUCCGUUUGAAGAGGGCUUCGGCGAGAGCCACCCCUUGCAAAUCUGAGCCACCUUCGCCGACAGCCGAGACGCUCGCUCUAGCGACAGCUCGCUCGAGCCUCAAGCUGAGUGUUGCUCGCCCAGAUCUACAGCAGAUCUGGGCGACGGCUGCUCUGCCGAGCUCGAGCUGCUGUGGUCGCUCAGUAGAGUAGCUCUGGUCGCUCAAGUGGCAGCUCUGCCAGCUCGCUUGAGCGGCAGAGCAACGACGCUCGUUCGAGCUGCUCUGCCAACUCGAGCGAGCGUGGCUGCUCUACCGAGCAAGCAACGUAGCGGAGCGACGCUCGAGCAAGCGUCAGUGCUCUGCUCGCUCGGCAGAGCAGCGAAGCGACGCUCGAGUGAGCGUCGGUGCUCUGCUCGCUCGGCAGAGCAGUAGAGCAACGAGCGUCGCUGCUCUACUCGCUUGGCAGAGCAACGCAGCGACACUCAAGCGAGCAUCCCUGCUCUGCUUGCUCGGCAGAAGCGGAAGUUGAGUCACCAAAGGAGAUGAAGACAAAACCUGAGAUCUUUCAAUCUCAGGAGAAUCCUGUAUCAAGGAACGAAGAUUUGUGCUUCCACAGCCCUGAGAUUAGCUCAAAUCUUCAUUUUGCUGAUUCACAGACCAAAGUGGAGAGCAUGGUUUAUUCAGAUGGCAGUUUGAGAUCCAGGAAUAGGAACCUAGGCCAGCUAUCUUUCUAUGAUGCCAUGCUGCCAAAUCCAGGUACAUACUCAGAUAUACACCUUAUUAUUAAGGGGAGUCAUCUAGAUUGAUAAUGGUGUAAUUUGAUUUGAUAACCUAGAGUCUUAUCAUUUCCAGAUUUGCUUUUGGACACUAUCUAGAUGAAACACGACAGAUUAGGUUAUUUUUAGCGAUGAUAUCAGCAGAGAAGUGUUUUUAUAUCCAUGAAUUUGCUGAUUAUCCUAACAGAGAGAUUUAGAAAUUGGUAUGAACAGUUCUUGGUGAAGUUAAUCUUUGGUCAAUUCGAUAGCAAAGAACUGUUCAAUUGACCCUCCCAAGCUUUUCCAUUCUACGUAACAGCAACAUUCACUGGUUUUUAGUCUAAAUAUGCCUCAUCGAUUCUUAAUUUCAUAUAUAUUUACUGUGAAUUUUGACUGUUCCUGCUAUCUAUGUAAUGAUUAUGAUGGGUUUCCCAUCUCAGAUUUGGGUAAUAGCAUCGAUGAUGGUAACUGAAUUGCAAAUGUUCCUUAGCAUAAGCCAAUUUUGCCUAAAGCACAUAUGGAGUUGCUAAUUUCUGAUAUGUUCCUAGGCGGUCUUGCAGGAAAUGAGCAUCUGGGUGGGAAGAUGGAGGUACCAGGAGCCUAUGGUCUGUAUCAUUCUGCGGAAGACUUCGGCAUGAGUGGAUGAUGCUGAUCGGUGCCACGGAUCUGCCCCCUUGCCUGCCAUGCUAAUGCUGAUGCUGAUGUUUAGCUUUUGCCGCUUGCGGCGUCAUAGCUUGGUCGAAGCCUAAUCUUGCAGAGUUGGAUGUUCGGUUUGCUUUUUGUGAAGGAACUGAUUUUACUGAGGAUCAUACGCUAGUUUGACUAGUUUGUUUGGAUUUUUGAUGGACUCGUGUCGCACAAAUUUGUUUACGGGAGCGGGAUGAGCGCUGUAUAUUCUAUUCAAAUCACUCUGGCUCUUGCAAUUUCAGAAUGCGGGCAUUUAGAUAGACCAUGGAGUUAGGCCCUUUUUUCCUUCUGUCCUAGUGGCUUACCUACUGUUGGAGAAGAAUCUGGGAAACUUUGUGUUUGAUCUAGUUAUGUAUGUGCAUGAUUUCGUGCACCUGUUCAAUCAAUUUGUCUUGAGCGUGCAGAAUUCUUUACCUUGGCCAUUGACUUUGAUGGAUUCAUGGUUGAGGAGAGCAGUUCUCUCAUUUUCGUGUUGUUCGUGCAUGCGUGCAUGCGUAAUGCAAUUUGAGGAAUGUGACCUCUAUGACAAGCGCAGGACUCAAUAGGGAGGGCAGGUCUUCAUUUAACUCGUGGGAAAGUAAUUAUUAUUUUCUCGUCGAACUUCUUAAAGCUAAAAAAGGUAAUUCAAUCAUAGAAAUUGCGGAAGAAAAAGUUCCAAUUCACUAUUAGUCGCAACAUGUUUUAAAUAAUUUGGCGUUCGAUACUAAUUUAUGUUGAAUUUUGAAUUCAACGAUGAAUGGGAAUAGAUAAAGUGUAUGAGUAGUGUGUGACUUUAUAUUAAAUAGCCUGAGCUCAUCCAACUAAAAUGACCUUUCUUUAUACAAGAAAGGAUGCAUCCGAGAAUGUGUAACACGAAAACAUUGCACUUGUAAGCAAUAGUUUGUUACUUAAGCUGCAAUAGUCGUGCUUCGUUCUCACAUCUCACUUAAAGGUAGCGAUUUAACUUUACGUACAGUAAUUUAUUCAUAGAGUUCGUAACAUGAAAAUAUAGCUGCUUGUUAAAUGCCAAAUAAUAGUGCAAUAAAACACCCUCAAAUUGUCCAUCCAUGAUGGUGUCAUUCGAGAAAUUAGGAAGUAACAACUUUUUUCACGUAGUAAUUUACUUUUAAGGUCUUGCAUGAUCCAAUAUCCGGUGAAAAAUCGUGAGCAACCUAAAUUUGUGGUAAAUCUUUGGUGAUCAUGACAUUUCUUCACUCACCAUUAACAAAAUAAAAUUAAUGAGCAUUUCAUGAGAAUGAAAAUUCAAUAUCAAGUUUAAACUUUAUUAAAAAAAAAAACAUUUUUUGAAAAAUUUAAAACAAAAAUUUUGUACAGUUUACUAAACGUGUUUCUGUUCUUUUUAUAUUUUAGGAACAGAAAUUGAAUGCAGUUAUCAAACGUGUUUAUGUUCUUUUUUUAUUUCAAGAACAGUUUUUUUUUACACUUACCAAACGCGUUCUUUUGUUCAAAAACUGUUCCCCGGAACAGAAACACUCUUUUUUAUUUCUGUUCCUUGGAACAAUUUUUUAAUAGAAACGUUACCAAACGCGCCCUAAAAUGCAUGUCAUCAUCCCCCACCCCCAACGCACACACUAACACGAGAAAAAUGAAAAGAAAAGGAAAGAGGCUCUAUUUAAUCCAGUGCACUAGAGCGCUGAAAAAUAUUUUCAAUUCCACGAACGUUUGCUGGUUAUUUGAUUAUUUGCUCUAUUCCUUUUGGAAUUAUCAGGAAGAGGAAAUCUGCAAUGGGUGGUCGAAAGGGUGGUCGAAAGGGUGGCCAGUUUUGGGAUUAGUACUUUUAGGGCUAUGCGAAUGGAGAAAAUGUCUUUUAGGCAUAUUAAAUUGUUGUAGGGAAACGCGGACAUAGGAUGCCGAUCCCAUAUGCAUGUGAACAAACUCGUGAAAACUAGCCGAAGAUGAAGAUGAAGGUCGUUACACUUUUUUUUUCUUUUUCUUUUAGUCAUAGGUCCUUAGGCUUCAUUUGCCAACAAUUUAUGGGAUUUUUCCUCCCCGUAAUCAAUAGCUCGUGUGGGAGGCAUGGCCGCGAAUCGGUUUCGACAGAUUCCCGGAAAAUUCAGGUGUCUGAUGCGAGACACUGCCCCGGUCGCGACAGCGUUCGCUCGAUUGUUUGCGGCCAAGGUUUUUUCUUUUAUUAUCAUCACGUGGAAGGAGCGCAUGUUCGUAAGGGAAGGAACAAUGUCAAUCGAUGCAGCACGUGUAGAGAACAAGGUCGGAACAAGACAAAAUCGUUAGAAAAAGAUUCGCUUGUGGAUUCCUUGGAAUUGCAUAUCGAACUUCAAUUUUCAAGCGAUAAGGGCGGAAGCUUCAAUGAAAGAAUUUCAUCAAUUUCUUCUCCUUCAACCUUUCUUCUUUCUUUAUGGAAAUCGGACUUUUAUUUGACGUUUAACAAACACCACGAUGAUGACGUGGAUAAUUGAGAUUAAAAUCCAUGUCGCAGUGGGAAAUGUAAUUGUCCAGAACGACCACUUGUACGGGCAUGCCAGCUCGCACGGCCACCAGCAACGCGUUUUGUUAGCGUCGCGUGUUCAACGCUUGGCGCACGAUCGACCGUCUGGAAUGACUUAAAACUGUCCGUUCUAGUCGCUUUGCUGUGUCUAGGCAAUGGCCGACUUUAAAUGCUGCUGAUCAGUGAGUCAGCUGCAGUAAUUUACUUGUCAUCGGACCGUAAUGUAGCUGUUCGUUCUAAUUCAUCGAUGCUAGCGUACGUUGAUAGUUUCUCCUUUCAAGUGUUGUGUUUAACUUCGUUUAAGAGGACUUUCGCUUAUCGGAGCUGCCUUAAGCUGCAAGUUCCUGCUUCUUUGUGUCCACCUUUCUAGAUUAUGUUCACCGAUUGAAAAAGCGGUUUUGCAAUGUGAUUGUAGUUUAGUUUUUGGUUUAUUCUGCUCGUUCACAGUGAGCAUCUCACUUUCGUCGACACUACCUGUCUUUGAUUGUAAAUCCCUAUCGUGCAUGGUUGAAUUUCAGUUGGGUUGCUUCUGUACCUGAGUCUAAUUGCAAUUUACUUUAAUCAGUCCAGUAGUUGGAAAUUUGAGAUCGACAGUGACAAGUUCUGGAAAGAUGGCUAUCCCUUUCAGAUAAUCGGUGGAGAUGUUCAUUAUUUCCGGGUGCUCCCGGACGUAUUUUCGUUUCUUUCCUUUAGUCGUUCUUCUUACUCAUGUGAUUAGAUUACAAUGGGUUUUUGUGACAAUUGUUAUAUAUGCUUUUUUCCAAAUGCUACUCACAAAUAGUUCUCCUUUCUAUGUGGAGAUGCACUUUUUUAAGAAGAGAAGCUGUGUUGUAUUGGCCAUAUCUGAAGCAGUAUUACUGCAUGUGGUAAUGCAUCUAAUUUAGGCUAGAAGGGCAACUUUGAACUUGAGAUUGUUUUAGAAUAUGACUUUCUGCUCCAUCAGGAAGCAAUAAAAUCUAGAGCUCCAUGACAAAUUCAGGGAGCCCCUCACUGAAGGACUUGUUCACGUCUUAAUAUAAUUCAGCAUCUUCUUUCAAUGCUGACUAGAAGGAUUCUUUGCUUGAAGCAAACUUUGCCCACUUCCAUUUAACGAAUCAAUUACACUUGGGCAUUUAUUGUGCAUGCAGUAUUGGGAAGACAGAUUGCUGAGAGCAAAAGCCCUAUGUUUGAACACUAUCCAGACAUAUGUUCCUUGGAAUCUGCAUGAACCGAAACCGGGGGAGACAGUCUUUGAGGGAAUUGCACAUAUAAAAUCUUUUCUCAACUUGUACAAGAAGCUUGAUCUCCUGGUUAUGCUUCGAGUAGGCCCUUAUAUAUGUGCAGGUGAGGGCCAGAAUCUUCUUAUUGGUGCUUUAAAACUUGUUAAUCUACGUUGAAGUGUUUGCUGCCCUUGUCUUGACUCUGAAGUGGACAUUGGAUUGACAUGGCCUUAUUAAGCCAUGGCAUGCUUUCAGCAUAUUUAACCCAUAACUGUCAUUCCAUUUUGGACCUUGGCGAUGGGUGUCUCUUCCAUUACAAGAGGGUCAUCAGUCACGCGUAUUUGAUUUCGUGCACAAGUAAGUGGAGGUAGCAUUUUAGCAAAAACGAAAAAAUCGUGGAAGUAGGACACUUUUUCUUAUUUUCUCUUCUUGUUUCUGUGGAGCUGUGAAGAGUAUGAAUUGCUGACCUUAGACAGUUUAUUGGACAUAACAGGAUUUUGUCUGUUCUAAGUCCAGUAAGAUAUAAAACGUGACAUCUCUAAUUGAUGGUCAACUUGAAGACCUUCGUUGUUCAUUCGAUUUUCAAAAUACAUCAUUCGGGACUGUCCCGACUGGUGAAUUCUCAGUUGUUUCCUUUUAUAGAUGAGAUGAAGUUUAUGCCUCCACGUAGGACUGACUUGCAUCUGUGUCUUCUACUUUGUUGCAGCCAAAAAAUAUGUGGUGCAUAUUUCCUCGAAUAAUUUAUCUACCGAAUCUGUUCCACUAUUUAGGACUCUUAAGGAUUAAACAUCAUUUGCGUGAUUGAGUCUGUGAGUGCAUAUAUGCAAAUAGCAGAUCUAGUUAUUCCUUCGGGUCUGUGCUAUUCCUUUAUUUCUAUGUUAUAUACGGUCAAUGAAUAGUUCGUGUCUCAUGCUUUCCACUAAAUUAGAGCAAUACUCUCAGUUGCUGUCCUCAUACUCUCAAAGAAGAGAUACUUGACUUUUAGCACUUAAUUAAGCAUGCCAUGUUGGCUGACAGGUAGUUCUGUGCCAUUUUAGUCUUAAGUGUUGGAAAUGCUCUAAGACCAUGACUUCAUGCAUUCUGUUAGCUUGGCAAAAUAAAUUUAGGCAUCACGUGUGCUUUAAUCUUCUAUUCUUUGUGAAGAGUCAAUUCUAGAGAGCAUAGUUGGCUCAACAGAGCAAAGGUGGUUUCUGACUGGUUCCUUUAUUUUUAUGUGCUAGUAGUUAGAAAAGCAUGAUUAUUAAUAAAUACAUACUCUGGAUUCCAAACGCUCUUCUUUUCUGACUUCCUUACCAAAGCAUCUUUGCAUGUUAAAUUUGUAAUGGAGAUUGCUAAAUCUCGUCCAUUGUAACUCAAUAUAUGGCUCAUCUUCAGAUAUGUUGUCAUGUUCGAAGUUUUUUUUUUAUGCAAGAACAAACAAGUAUGAUCCUUUUUUUGUUGGCAAUAGGAGAUGUUUACAUUCGUUCAAAAAAGUAAAUUUUAGACUUCCAAUUGGAGCGGAGAAAUACAAUUCUUCGAAAUGAAUAUGAUCUCUUAACACUACUUGCUGUUUAUGUUCUAUAUCUUUGCAAUAGGGGCGCUAGUGUUUCCUUAGGCGCAUUAAUUAGCAAUAUCUGCGAUAUGAUGGCAUUCCAAUUUUCCUUGCUUCCCCGUUUAUAUGGUGGAAUAAUCCCGAUGGGUACACAUUGAUGCAGGGUGGGAUUUUGGGGGCUUCCCUUACUGGCUACUUGCCAUAAAACUAGUACUUACGUUAAGAUCAUCUGAUCCUGCGUUUGUCAAGUUGGUAUGUGUUCCUACUCCAUUUGUCAAAAAUCAAGAAUUGUUGUGCUUCAUGAUGGUGGAACAUUGUGGGAUUGAAUAAUUGCUCUAGAAAAGCUCUUUGAUGUGUUUUGGAUUCCUAAAGAGAUUAUGUUCAUUUUCGGGCUCCAUUUGACCAAUAGAUAUAUCUCUGCAUUCAACUCCUGUUUUGUCAUGUUCAGAGACGUAAGAAAGGUGGCUAGCUUGACUUCCACUUUAUAGAUAUAAGAAAGGUGGAUUGCUUUUCUUACCUCUUUUUGUAUGUUGAUGCUCUCCUAUAUUUUUCUCUUCAGAAAUUUUUUUGGUGCCGCAUUUCGAUGUUACCCAUGCUUUUCAGCACAUCCAUCUUAGUCCAGAGAAGUCAUGAAUUUUUCUCAUCUAUUCAGGAGCUUGCUUAAAAUAUGGACAAAUUGUCUUAUCCUUUGCAUACUGUUAGUGGCCAGCCUAUGUAAAUCAAGGCUCUCUCAAAAGGAGCUAUUAAUCUGUGCUGAUGAUUCGUGUUUUGGAAUGUUCCCAUUUUUCUCUUUAGAUGGAACAUCAUUUAGUGUCUUGUUUAGUUAUACUAAAAAAUUCAAAGUUGGGGAGUAACUCUCAAACUGUAAUGAAAUUGAUUAAAGAGGUCUUAAGCACGAAAAAGCAAGUUGGUGGGACUCUCUUGCACACUGCAUGGAUUUGGAAGCGUUUGUGUUGGAUUAUAAUGUCUCAGUGCUGCUGGUUUUUCGACUGAUGUUCCUCUGUUCUGUUUUCUUCUUAUGGUUUAUUUUUCUUGCUAAGUGGUUAUAUUAUGCAGCUGGUAUUUUUGUUAUUUAGGAAGUGAAUUAGCACGUUUAGGUGCAGUUAUAUGCUGCACGUGUGUGUGGUUUGUAAGCAGUUAUUGUUCUUGUUUAAGUUGUCCUGUACUUGACAGUUUCCUAAGAGAACUGACGUAUGCAAGUUUGUGUUCUAUUUCUCUGGGCUUCUCUUCCUCAUUCGAAAUCUAUGGCUUCUGGUUUUCUGUUUCUUGUUUACUGUUUCAUCAGUAACAACAGUGGUAUCAAAGCAUGAAUGAUCUUGAGGGACUGUGAAGUGAAGCAAGUAUCGAAGUGUAAAGAAGUUAAAGGGUGAUGGAGACAGGGUCGAGUGGUUUCUCUGCGAUGGCUUCUCCAGUAUUUACUGGAGAGAAUUAUCAAGCAUGGGUUGUUAAGAUGACAGCAUUUUUUGGAGGGUCAUGAUCUGUGGUAUGCUAUGGAGAAUAAUCCGACCAUGAAUCAAAUCAAACUUCAUAAAGAGAGAACCACAAGAAAAGCCAAGGCAAAAUCUUGCAUGCAUGCUGCUGUCUCGCCUACCAUCUUUACCAGAAUUAUGAAGUGUGACUCUGCAAAGGCCAUAUGGGACUUCUUGAAGGAAGAAUAUGAAGGAGAUGAGAAGAUAAGAGGUAUGAAGGUGCUGAAUCUCUUGAGAGAAUUUGAGAGACAGCAGAUGAAAGAGUCUGAGUCAGUGAAGGAAUACUUUGAUAGGAUAGUGGGGAUAGCUGAUAAAAUCAGAGUUUUGGAGACUGACUUGAAGGAUGAUAGGCUUGUUCAGAAGAUCCUGAUGUCUUUUCCAGAGAAAUUCGAAGCUACUAUAGCUUCUCUGGAAAACACAAGGGACUUGGCUGAUAUAAAACUUGCAGAGUUAUUGAAUGCUUUGCAGGCACAGGAACACAGAAGACUAAUGAGGAGAGAAGAACAUGUAGAGGGGGCAUUACAAGCCAAAGUAAAGCAAAAUGAUGGAGGCAAAGGGAAGAAAUGGAUUCAGUUUAGAGGAAAUGUUGCUGAUUCGAGGUUUUUACCAAAAGAAGGGAACACUGGUGGAUCUAGCAAAUGGAAAAAUAAUAAAAGGCCAUGUCAGUACUGUGGUGGAACCAAUCAUCAGUCUUUUAGAUGCUGAAGAAAGCCAGAUGCUAGGUGCAGAAGAUGACACAAGUUGGGUCACAUGGAAGCUAUUUGCAAAGGGAAAACUUAUCAGCAAGCAGGAGAAGCACAAGUGGCAGUACAUAAAGUUGAUGAAAAGCACCUGUUUGUAGCUUCAGCUGGUGAAUCUUCAGUCGAAAAUAAUACAUGGCUGGUAGAUAGUGGCUGUACCAAUCACAUGACUGGUAACUUAAAGCUAUUCAGGAACAUAAACAAUACAAUAAGGUCCAGAGUCAGAAUUGGCAAUGGACAGCAUAUUAAAGUGCAAGGUAAAGGUGUAGUUGCUAUUGAAGGAAACCAGGAGGUAAAGCUAAUCAGGGAUGUUCUCUUUGUGCCAAAUAUUGACCAAAAUCUGUUAAGUGUUGGUCAGUUAGUGAAGAAGGGCUAUAAAGUGAAGUUCGAAGGAAGGGAAUGUCUCAUUAAAAAUGCUGACAAUAAGUCUUGAGAAUUCCAAUGAGGGAUAAAAGUUUUAUGUUCAAGCCACAUGAGAUGCAACAGAUGGCUUUGAAAUGCAAAGAAGAAAAUACAGAGCUAUGGCAUAAAAGACUUGGGCAUGUUCACAGGAGGAGUAUGCUAUUUAUGCAGAAAAAUGGCUUGGUAGAUGACUUGCCAAGCUUGGAUGAAGAACUUCCACAAUGCAGAACCUGUCUUCUUGGCAAACAAGCUAGAUUUCCCUUCAAAUGAGGAGUCUCAAGGAUAUGUCAAAAGCUGGAACUAGUUCACACUGAUGUAUGUGGACCUAUGUUUGAACCCUCUCUCAGUAGAAGCAGGUAUUUUAUUACCUUUACUGAUGAUUUGACUAGGAUGAGCUGGAUCUAUUUUCUGCGAGCUAAGACUAAAGUAGCUGAUGCAUUUAUGAAGUUUAAAGCUUUAGUUGAGAAUCAAAGUAGGAAGAAAAUUAAAGCUCUCAGGUCUGACAAUGGAUCUGAGUAUACAACUAACAAAUUUAAGCUGAUUUGUGAGCAAGCAGGANNNNNNNNNNNNNNNNNNNNNNNNNNNNNNNNNNNNNNNNNNNNNNNNNNNNNNNNNNNNNNNNNNNNNNNNNNNNNNNNNNNNNNNNNNNNNNNNNNNNNNNNNNNNNNNNNNNNNNNNNNNNNNNNNNNNNNNNNNNNNNNNNNNNNNNNNNNNNNNNNNNNNNNNNNNNNNNNNNNNNNNNNNNNNNNNNNNNNNNNNNNNNNNNNNNNNNNNNNNNNNNNNNNNNNNNNNNNNNNNNNNNNNNNNNNNNNNNNNNNNNNNNNNNNNNNNNNNNNNNNNNNNNNNNNNNNNNNNNNNNNNNNNNNNNNNNNNNNNNNNNNNNNNNNNNNNNNNNNNNNNNNNNNNNNNNNNNNNNNNNNNNNNNNNNNNNNNNNNNNNNNNNNNNNNNNNNNNNNNNNNNNNNNNNNNNNNNNNNNNNNNNNNNNNNNNNNNNNNNNNNNNNNNNNNNNNNNNNNNNNNNNNNNNNNNNNNNNNNNNNNNNNNNNNNNNNNNNNNNNNNNNNNNNNNNNNNNNNNNNNNNNNNNNNNNNNNNNNNNNNNNNNNNNNNNNNNNNNNNNNNNNNNNNNNNNNNNNNNNNNNNNNNNNNNNNNNNNNNNNNNNNNNNNNNNNNNNNNNNNNNNNNNNNNNNNNNNNNNNNNNNNNNNNNNNNNNNNNNNNNNNNNNNNNNNNNNNNNNNNNNNNNNNNNNNNNNNNNNNNNNNNNNNNNNNNNNNNNNNNNNNNNNNNNNNNNNNNNNNNNNNNNNNNNNNNNNNNNNNNNNNNNNNNNNNNNNNNNNNNNNNNNNNNNNNNNNNNNNNNNNNNNNNNNNNNNNNNNNNNNNNNNNNNNNNNNNNNNNNNNNNNNNNNNNNNNNNNNNNNNNNNNNNNNNNNNNNNNNNNNNNNNNNNNNNNNNNNNNNNNNNNNNNNNNNNNNNNNNNNNNNNNNNNNNNNNNNNNNNNNNNNNNNNNNNNNNNNNNNNNNNNNNNNNNNNNNNNNNNNNNNNNNNNNNNNNNNNNNNNNNNNNNNNNNNNNNNNNNNNNNNNNNNNNNNNNNNNNNNNNNNNNNNNNNNNNNNNNNNNNNNNNNNNNNNNNNNNNNNNNNNNNNNNNNNNNNNNNNNNNNNNNNNNNNNNNNNNNNNNNNNNNNNNNNNNNNNNNNNNNNNNNNNNNNNNNNNNNNNNNNNNNNNNNNNNNNNNNNNNNNNNNNNNNNNNNNNNNNNNNNNNNNNNNNNNNNNNNNNNNNNNNNNNNNNNNNNNNNNNNNNNNNNNNNNNNNNNNNNNNNNNNNNNNNNNNNNNNNNNNNNNNNNNNNNNNNNNNNNNNNNNNNNNNNNNNNNNNNNNNNNNNNNNNNNNNNNNNNNNNNNNNNNNNNNNNNNNNNNNNNNNNNNNNNNNNNNNNNNNNNNNNNNNNNNNNNNNNNNNNNNNNNNNNNNNNNNNNNNNNNNNNNNNNNNNNNNNNNNNNNNNNNNNNNNNNNNNNNNNNNNNNNNNNNNNNNNNNNNNNNNNNNNNNNNNNNNNNNNNNNNNNNNNNNNNNNNNNNNNNNNNNNNNNNNNNNNNNNNNNNNNNNNNNNNNNNNNNNNNNNNNNNNNNNNNNNNNNNNNNNNNNNNNNNNNNNNNNNNNNNNNNNNNNNNNNNNNNNNNNNNNNNNNNNNNNNNNNNNNNNNNNNNNNNNNNNNNNNNNNNNNNNNNNNNNNNNNNNNNNNNNNNNNNNNNNNNNNNNNNNNNNNNNNNNNNNNNNNNNNNNNNNNNNNNNNNNNNNNNNNNNNNNNNNNNNNNNNNNNNNNNNNNNNNNNNNNNNNNNNNNNNNNNNNNNNNNNNNNNNNNNNNNNNNNNNNNNNNNNNNNNNNNNNNNNNNNNNNNNNNNNNNNNNNNNNNNNNNNNNNNNNNNNNNNNNNNNNNNNNNNNNNNNNNNNNNNNNNNNNNNNNNNNNNNNNNNNNNNNNNNNNNNNNNNNNNNNNNNUAUACAGUCAUUGAAUAGCUUGCGUCUCAUGUUUUCCGCUAAAUCAGAGCAAUACUCUCAGUUGCUGUCCUAAUACUCUCAAAGAAGAGAUACUUGAAUUUUAGCACUUAAUUAAGCAUGCCAUGUUGGCUGACAGGUAGUUUUGUGCCAUUUUAGUCUAUGCUCUAAGACCAUGACUUCAUGCAUUCUGUUAGCUUGGCAAAAUAAAUUUAGGUAUAACGUGUGCUUUAAUCUUCUAUUCUUUGUGAAGAGUCAAUUCUAGAGAGCAUAGUUGGCUCAACAAAGCAAAGGUGGUUUCUGACUCGUUCCUUUAUUUUUAUGUGCUAGUAGUUAGAAAAGCAUGAUUAUUAAUAAAUGCAUACUCUGGAUUCCAAACGCUCUUCUUUUCUGACUUCUUACCAAAGCAUUUUGCAUGUUAAAUUUGUAAUGGAGAUUGCUAAAUCUUGUCCAUUGUAACUCAAUAUAUGGCUCAUCUUCAGAUAUGUUGUCAUGUUCGAAGAUUCUUUUUAUGCAAGAACAAACAAGUAUGAUCCUUUUUUUGUUGGCAAUAGGAGAUGUUUACAUUCGUUCAAAAAAGUAAAUUUUAGACUUCCAAUUGGAGCGGAGAAAUACAAUUCUUCGAAAUGAAUAUGAUCUCUUAACACUACUUGCUGUUUAUGUUCUAUAUCUUUGCAAUAGGGGCGCUAGUGUUUCCUUAGGCGCAUUAAUUAGCAAUAUCUGCGAUAUGAUGGCAUUCCAAUUUUCCUUGCUUCCCCGUUUAUAUGGUGGAAUAAUCCCGAUGGGUACACAUUGAUGCAGGGUGGGAUUUUGGGGGCUUCCCUUACUGGCUACUUGCCAUAAAACUAGCACUUACGUUAAGAUCAUCUGAUCCUGCGUUUGUCAAGUUGGUAUGUGUUCCUACUCCAUUUGUCAAAAAUCAAGAAUUGUUGUGCUUCAUGAUAGUGGAACAUUGUGGAAUUGAAUAAUUGCUCUAGAAAAGCUCUUUGAUGUGUUUUGGAUUCCUAAAUAGAUUAUGUUCAUUUUCAGGCUCCAUUUGACCAAUAGAUAAAUCUCUGCAUUCGACUCCUAUUUUGUCAUGUUCAGAGACAUAAGAAAGGUGGCUAGCUUGACUUCCACUUUAUAGAUAGAAGAAAGGUAUAUUGCUUUUCUUACCUCUUUUUGUAUGUUGAUGCUCUCAUAUAUUUUUUCUUUAGAAAUUUUUUUGGUGCCGCAUUUCGAUGUUACCCAUGCUUUUCAGCACAUCCAUCUUAGUCCAGAGAAGUCAUGAUUUUUUCUCAUCUAUUCAGGAGCUUGCUUUAAUAUGGACAAAUUGUCUUAUCCUUUGCAUACUGUUAGUGGCCAGCCUAUGUAAAUCAAGGCUCUCUCGAAAGGAGCUAUUAAUCUGUGCUGANNNNNNNNNNNNNNNNNNNNNNNNNNNNNNNNNNNNNNNNNNNNNNNNNNNNNNNNNNNNNNNNNNNNNNNNNNNNNNNNNNNNNNNNNNNNNNNNNNNNNNNNNNNNNNNNNNNNNNNNNNNNNNNNNNNNNNNNNNNNNNNNNNNNNNNNNNNNNNNNNNNNNNNNNNNNNNNNNNNNNNNNNNNNNNNNNNNNNNNNNNNNNNNNNNNNNNNNNNNNNNNNNNNNNNNNNNNNNNNNNNNNNNNNNNNNNNNNNNNNNNNNNNNNNNNNNNNNNNNNNNNNNNNNNNNNNNNNNNNNNNNNNNNNNNNNNNNNNNNNNNUGAAAGUCGAGUAAAUUUCAGCUGAUGCUGCAUCACUUCGAGUGGAAAAUUUGUGAUUGCUGCUUUCAUGUCUAUGAGGGAAACUUUGUACUGUCGUAUAUAACUGAAAUCUGCUGUGGACCCAAUUAUGGGUGAAGCAAGGGUGCUAUAUUGUGGCAUCAAAGUGACCCAAAUAUUUAUGAAUAUUUAAUGUAUCAUCUAAGUACAUUACUGCAGCAACAGGGUACUCUUGCCAACACCAGGAUCACCUCCCACCAAAAUUAAGGAACCUUUAGAGCCACAAUGCAGCAAAAUCAAUAGCUUUGAUAAAAUUAAGAUCUUCAAAACUUCCAUACAUCUCAAGUGAAAGUUCUAGUACAGCAGCAGAUCUGUGCGGACCAUACAGCCAAAAAGUAGGUCGAACCUGGCACAAGACCACCGCCUAGCACUCUCGAAACCUCCUCUCCAAAGGGUCCAUACCUAAACAUCAAGCACCCCAAGAGAUCAUUUACUUUAAGGAAUUAGGGCGUCAUGCACGUUUCUUUCAAAAUAAAUUAACAGAAGUACUAAUGUGUUACAAUAACCAGCAUGGAUGGUUUCAUCGAGGUGGACAACAGAUUGUCAUCAGGACCAAAGGUCAUGUCAUCACUCUCGUAUUACUAAAGAAAAGGAAAUAUACUAUCAUUCCGGCAAAAUUUCAUCUGAAUCACAAGAUACGCUCUAUGAUCCAACUUCUGGAAGGAUGUUUCGAAGUAAAUUAUGUCAAAUGUAGAUAAGACAAUAAAAUCAACUCGACAACAACUUUUUUCAACUAUUUAUCUUUCUGUAGCAGCUGCAUAUAGGGUCCAAAGCUGACCAGUUACUCAUUUCCCAGAACAGAACAAACUUACAGAGGAAUCCGCCACUCUAACUGCAAAGAGAGAAGCUCGAGAGUAGAAGAAAUCUCUCUGCUCAUUAUGCUACCUUAUGUGCUUUCGUAAGCUCAGAGACCUUGGUAUCACGGACUGAACCAACAUGGGCAUCAAUGCGACUCCGCAGCCUCUCCCGUACGCUAGACGUAUCCCAUUUGGCUUGUUCAAUUACAACAUCUGUUCAAAGUAUGAUACGAAACUUAUCCAUGCAUUCGGUGGUAAAAUUCCCCUAAUAACAAGUCAAAAGUGAGCAUGGCAUGAACACAUACAAAUAGUUUCCUNNNNNNNNNNNNNNNNNNNNNNNNNNNNNNNNNNNNNNNNNNNNNNNNNNNNNNNNNNNNNNNNNNNNNNNNNNNNNNNNNNNNNNNNNNNNNNNNNNNNUUUCACAUUGCCUCUGGUCUCAGACACAAACUUCAUUUCUGACUGAUGCAAGUAAAACAACUAAUAGGCCACCAAAGGAGUGCAAAUGCAAGCACAACAGAGUCAAAGAACCAAGAAAAAGCUUAGUUACAAGACAAAGCACAAUGACAAACCUUCGUUCGUGGCCAAAUUUUUCAAAGCAUUAACUUUACAAAUAUCAGGUUACAAGUUGCCAUACCUGCGCAUCGUUUGUCAAAUAAGGCCAUAUAAGACCGAGUACAGUCACGAGUAGCCACUAAAAACUCUUCCCCUCCUUCCAAAGCCUUGCCAAAUCUUUCCUUGAACUCACCUAGACAUCCAUACAAAAUAUGACCAAGGACUGCUUGGAAAGCUGGUCGUACCAGUUGACGAAACAACAAAACACAAUAAGCAACAUAUGAUAAGAUGUCCUCAACGGACAGUCUCUCUGUGUAAGCUUACUUGAAAUGAAAACAUCCUGACUGAAAGAAAAAUGUGUCAGAAAGGAAAGCUAGCUAGGGCCGUCAAAUGGUUUGCUCUUGAAGUUACGAGAUGGGCCCUAAAGUAUCUCUCGAGCCCAAAAUUCGAAAUGGGCCCCGGCGGACCCGGAACCGGCACUUCGGUCCGUCCUGUGAUGACUUGGAAUUUGGGCCUGCGUGGAUUUUCAUUUGGGAAUUGCCUCUCUCACACGGAGCGACAAAGAAAUUAUGGGAAGACAUAUUGAAUGGGGCUUCAUCAUUGGGGCGAGGGGCUUGACGAUGAGGGAUGUCGGCCGGAGAUGGUGGGGCUAUGUCGGAAGGGUGUGGUGGUAGCUUGGAAGAAACUAAGCUUCGUUGGUUUUGGGAAGAAGAUGGGCAAUCAACGAUAAUCAAGAAGAUUCUCAAAGCCUACCAGAAUCACCAUCAGCCCAGGGGAAGAAACCGAAGGAGUCGUUGCCGAAGAAGUUCCCGGAAUCGGAAGACGACGACGACGAAGAAGCUCUCAACGGCAACCGAAGGGCGCAGGAGGGAUAAGGCGGACUACGGUGGAGGAAUGGUAGUCUCUGGACGGAAGGAGAAGGGACUUCUUCGGUGCGAGGGGAAAGCUAGCUAGGGCCAUCAAAUGGUUUGCUCUUGAAGUUACGAGAUGGGCCCCAAAGUAUCUCCCGAGCCCAAAAUUCGAAAUGGCCCGAAACCGGCUCUUCGGUCCGUCUCGUGCUGACCUGGAAUUUGGGCCUGCGUUGAUUUUCAUUUGGGAAUGCCUCUCUCACACGGAGCGACAAAGAAAUUAUGGGAAGACAUAUUGAAUGGGGCUUCAUCAUUGGGGCGAGGGGCUUGACGAUGAGGGAUGUCGGCCGGAGAUGGUGGGGCUAUGUCGGAAGGGUGUGGUGGUGGCUUGGAAGAAACUAAGCUUCAUUGGUUUUGGGAAGAAGACGGGCAAUCAACGAUAAUCAAGAAGAUUCUCAAAGCCUAUCGGAAUCGCCAUCAGCCCAGGGGAAUAAACCGAAGGAGUCGUUGCCGAAGAAGUUCCCGGAAUCGGAAGACGACAACGACGAAGAAGCUCUCAACGGCAACCGAAGGGUGCGGUAGGGAUAAGGCAGACUACGGUGGAGGAAUGGGAGUCUCUGGACAGAAGGAGAAGGGACUUCUUCGGUGCGAGGGGAAAGCUAGCUAGGGCCGUCAAAUGGUUUGCUCUUGAAGUUACGAGAUGGGCCCCAAAGUAUCUCCCGAGCACAAAAUUCGAAAUGGGCCCCGGCGGACCCGUAACCGGCUCUUCGAUCCGUCCCGUGCUGACCUGGAAUUUGGGCCUGCAUGGAUUUUCAUUUGGGAAUGCCUCUCUCACACGGAGCGAUAAAGAAAUUAUGGGAAGACAUAUUGAAUGGGGCUUCAUCAUUGGGGCGAGGGGCUUGACGAUGAGGGAUGUCGGCCGGAGAUGGUGGGGCUAUGUCGGAACGGUGUGGUGGUGGCUUGGAAGAAACUAAGCUUCGUUGGUUUUGGGAAGAAGACGGGCUGCAAACAGGCCGAGUGCACUAAGCCUUGUGGGAACCGGCCUCAAUAGACCAAGUUUGAUUGCCAAGGAUCUAGAAAUUAGAAUAUUUCUUUCCUUUCUAGGGGGGAAAAAGCUUAGGAAAUUGACACAAUUAGUCAAGAAAAAACAAAAGAGAAAACCUUAGCCGCAAACAAUCGAGCGAACGCUGUCGCGACCGGCGCAGUGUCUCGCAUCAGACACCUGAAUUUUCCGGGAAUCUGUCGAAACAAUUCACGGCCAUGCCUCUCUUUUUUUUUUUUUGGGUCCCACACGAGCUAUUGAUUACGGGGAGGAAAAAUCCAUAAUUUUUUGGCAAAUGAAGCCUAAGGACCUAUGACCAAAAGAAAAAAAAAAGUGUAACGACCUUCAUCUUCAUCUUCAGGUAGCUUUCACGUGUUUGUUCACGUGCAUAUGGGAUCGGCAUCCUAUGUCCGCGUUUCCCUUAUAACAGUUUAAUAUGCCCAAAGACAUUUUCUCCAUCCGCAGAGCCCUAAAAGUACUAACCCCAAAACUGGCCACCCUUUCGACCACCCAUUGCAGCUCUCCUCUUCCUGAUAAUUCCAAAAAGAAGAGAGCAAAUAAUCAAAUAAUCAGCAAAUGUUCGUGGAAUUGAAAAUAUUUCUCACCGCUCUAGUGCACUAGAUUAAAUAGAGCCUCUUUCUUUUUCUUUUCAUUUUUCUUGUGUUAGUGUGUGCGUUGGGGGUGGGGGAUGAUAACAUGCAUUUUAAUGACAAUAAAACGUGCCUGAGUAGUAAUUGUAAAAUAUGGGUUUUGACCCAGUCAAAAAUUACAAAAGAAAAAGGUAGAAGCUUCAGCAGAGAGAGAGAGAGAGAGAGGAAUCGAGAGUUUUCGGGAGAGGGAAAAGAGAAGAGAGAGAGAGAGAGAGAGAGAGAGAGGAAGAAAAAACAGAAAGAAAAAAAAAGAAAAAUGAAAAGAAAAAUGAGGAGAUAAAAAGGAAAGAGAAAAGGAAAGAAGGGGAGAGUGUUAGACCUGAGCAGGUCUUUAAACUGCUCCACCCUGAAUAGGACAUCCCAGGGUGCCUCCCCCCACAACCCAUUUAUAGGGAAAUGAGGGAGCUAGAACACAGAGAGAAGAAGAAAGAGAGAAAGAAGAAGAAGAAGAUAAAAGAAAAAGGGGGGCUUGCACGUUCUCGUCAUGGGAGCCUCACCAAGCCACAUUAACUACGUAACGCAAUGCUUGGUAAGCACUUGUGCUCCCCCUUCGUUCAAUCAGAGUAAUUUUGGACCUAGGGCUUGAAAUUCGGAAUUUUGGGAAAAUCGAGCAACGAAAUAUGAUUUUUGAGUCGUUGAGCUAAGUAUUUUUGUAGAAAUGAUAACUUGGGAUGUUGUGGAGCUGUGGGAUUUUAUGGAUUGUAAUUUGAGCUCAUAGUUUGCCCGAAACAAAAUUUUGAAGUUUAUCGCCCGUGAUGAACAGUGCACGACCAGAAUUUCAGAGCUAUAUUUUGUUUAUUUUCGGCUUGAUUUCAGGUUAGCUAAAUUAGGGUUCUUGUAGUAUGUUGGAUGAGUUUUUCAUUGAUUAUAAGUGCGCUUUUAACGGAGUUCGGUGGAGAAAAUUAUGGCAUGAUGAAGUUUCGUGCUCGCACUUCGCGCUAAGGACAGCUUUGUUUUGGUUGAGUGAUUUAUUAGCGCGUAAGUGUCUUUUUAUCGAUGAUUUAACAUUAUUUAGUCGAGUCGUUAGUUGGAGAGUGGCAUAUUACCUGGUUUUAAUAUCAUUUUCGAUUUAUUAAUAGGAAUACGAGUGCGUUGGCUCAAUUCGACUUUCAUAGGUGAGUGGUGCUAUCUCUUCAAAGAAUUUAUAAGCUCAUGUCUUCAAAAUGAUAAAGAUUUAAUAUUUUAUGAGUUAUAAAUAAGCAUAUUUAUUGCAUAAAAGUUAGAUCGGGCAUUUACUAAGUUUUGAUAUUUGAAAAUAGUGUGAGAACGUUUUAUGAAUAUAUAUUAUGUUUGAUUAACGAAGUUGAGAAAUAUUGCAUGUUUUGAGUUUGUGAAAUCAUUUCACGAAAAGCUCAACUUUGAGAUGAUUUAUGGAAGGUUAUAUAGAUAUUGAUUUGUGAUAAACUUUUUGAAAUAUAUUUGAUUUGAAAUUGAUUUAUGAGACGGGUUUUGAAAUUAUUUGAGAAUGUUUUAUGGAAAUAUUUUUGGUGGAUAAGUUGAGUUGCGAAAUCUUUUUGUGAUAUAUAAAAUGUUUUAUGAAUUUGGGUUUGAGAAUUAUAGAUGGUGUGGUUCUGGAUUGUUGUGGAUGUACAAUAUCGCUGUGAGCCCAACAAGGGGCUUGUGGGGUAUGCGCAUACUAUUUCUAGGAUUAUCCUUGGUAAGCUGAGCUACCGGCUAAUAAUACAUAGNNNNNNNNNNNNNNNNNNNNNNNNNNNNNNNNNNNNNNNNNNNNNNNNNNNNNNNNNNNNNNNNNNNNNNNNNNNNNNNNNNNNNNNNNNNNNNNNNNNNACGGAUUGGUCAAUGGAGUGGACCAUCGACGUGUAAUUUGAGAUUAAUCGUUGGAAUUAACCAUCGACGUGUAAUCUGAGAUUAGUCAUUGGAAUGGAUCAUCAACGUGUAAUUUCAAUUAAAUUAUCGAUGUGUGGUUUGAUGAGAUUAAUCAAUGGAAUAGACCAUUCAUACAUGUUUUAUGAGAUUGACCAAUGGGUUAGACCAUUGGCAUUUUGCCUAUUAUUAUCUUGAAUAUUUUUGCUUUGAACAUGUUGUGUUAAAGUAAGAAAUGUUAUAUUUUGGCCCUAAAGGUUUGUUAAAUUUCUGGAUUUUGUGUGGUAUAAGAUUAAUAAAUAGAAUGAACCAUUGGCGUGUGAAUUAAUGAGAUUGAUAAUUGGAUUAUACCACUAUAAAUAUAGCUAUGUUGAAGCGUAUGUAACUUAUUCUUUUUACUGUAUGUUUGUUAUAUCCUAAAUUUGAGUUAGAAGAGUUGUAAUUUGGUUUUGUAAAUAUGCAUAGUGGGUGCUCGAUCCGCUUAGAAGAGAUGCACUACUCACUGAGCCAUGGUUGCUCACCCCUCUAUUUUCCAUUCUUUUUCAGGUUCCUUGACUAACGAUGAAUAGAUCAGAGAGCGAUAUGGAUGUGGGGACUUUUAAGAGUUGGAUUUUGGGAGCUUUAAGGCCGCGUCCUUUGAGUGGAAGGACGGCCGUGUCAUCCCCCAUUCUUGUUGAUUUUGGGGUGUGACGGUAAUUCUUCCUUCAUUGCUCAAUCAAUGGUGUGCUACAUCUCUGCAAUAAAUUGCAUCCAUAGUGUUUUGCACUCCUGGGGCAUGAUCAGUGUUUCGAACGAAGGAAUCUGCAAUUAAAUAAUGAGUGUAAGUGCUCUCAGCAAAUUGAAGAUUUGCAUUAAUUGGAACCAGCACGAUAAAAGCAAAACUCACAUCUUCCAACGUGCUUAAAGCCAAGCGAUCUAUGCUCCCGUCAGUGGCAUAAGGUUUGUUGUCCAACAAUCGAACUAACAAAAGUUGUUCAAUAUUAUCCUUCUCACCAUCCAAACGAAUUGCCGCCAUUGCAGACAGCAACCUUAAUGACUGCAAGCGUCAUUGAAUCGUUUCUUGUGAAAGAUCCACAAGCAAGCAACAGGAGAAACAUGAAAAAUGUUUGUCACAUAUAAAUUUUGCAUACUGCCAAACGAGCUUGUCGUGCGAUAUCUCAAACAUCCUCCCUACUUCUCCAGACUCUAUCCACAUAGUUAACAUCAUGGCUAAACAGUGUAGCAAAACUAGAUAGAAAAUGAAGCACAUAAGGAUUUCAAGUACUAUUGAAUCUAACCCAUGAGUAAAUCGCAAACUUAAAGAUGCCUACCACUCCUUCAUUAGCUCAACAACCUUUCGAGAUACUUUAUUUGCUCUUUUUCGUACGACAGACCUUCCAUAAUCUUUCAUAACAUCCAGCCUUCCUUCCUUCAUCUAUUGAUCCAUCUCAUAAGAAGAGAGGGCACUAGAGAACCAACUUAUGGCCAACAUAGUCUUGCGCGAAAGAAGUGUCAUGAUGGCCGACCAGGUUUCACUAGUAGCUCACUUAAAAAGAGCUUCCACUGGUCCAAACAAUGCUUCCUUCAAUCUUGCCUGUAAAAACAUGAUAUAAUUCGUGCAGAUCCCAUCAACCACCAUUAAGUAAAAAAGGGAAAAGCCCUCCAUCUGUAAAGAGAGGCGCGAGACUAUGUUGGUCAUAAGUCGAUUCUCUAGUGCCCUCUCUUCUUAUGAGAUGGAUCAACAGAUGAAGGAAGGAAGGUUGGAUGUUAUGAAGAUUAUGGAAGGUCUAUCGUAUGAAAAAGAGCAAAUAAAGUAUCUUGAAGGGUCGUUGAGCUAAUGAAGGAGUGGUAGGCAUCUUUAAGUUUGCGAUUUACUCGUCGGUUAGAUUCAAUAGUAGCUCCCUUCAAAAGAGCUUCCACUGGUCCAAACAAUGUUCCUUCAGUCUUGCCUGUAAAAACAUGAUAUAAUUCGUGCAGAUCCCAUCAACCACCAUUAAAUAAAAAGGGGAAAAGCCCUCCAUCUGUAAAGAGAGAAGCUCGAGAGAAGAAGAAAUCUCUCUGCUCAUUAUGCUACCUUAUGUGCUUUCGUAAGCUAAGAGACCUUGGUAUCACGGACCGAACCAACAUGGGCAUCAAUGCGACUCCGCAACCUCUCCUGUACGCUAGACGUAUCCCAUUUGGCUUGUUCAAUUACAACAUCUGUUCAAAGUAUGAUACGAAACUUAUCCAAGCAUUCGGUGGUAAAAUUCCCCUAAUAACAAGUCAAAAGUGAGCAUGGCAUGAACACAUACAAAUAGUUUCCUAAAUGCCCAGAGUGUUAUUUACCAACAAGACCAUAUUUUCACAUAGCCUCUGGUCUCAGACACAAACCUUCAUUUCUAACUGAUGCAAGUAAAACAACUAAUAGGCCACUAAAGGAGUGCAAAUGAAAGCACAACAAGAGUCAAAGAACCAAGAAAAAGCUUAGUUACAAGACAAAGCACAAUGACAAACCUUCGUUCGUGGCCAAAUUUUUCAAAGCAUUAACUUUACAAAUAUCAGGUUACAAGUUGCCAUACCUGCGCAUCGUUUGUCAAAUAAGGCCAUAUAAGACCGAGUACAGUCACGAGUAGCCACUAAAAACUCUUCCCCUCCUUCCAAAGCCUUGCCAAAUCUUUCCUUGAACUCACCUAGACAUCCAUACAAAAUAUGACCAAGGACUGCUUGGAAAGCUGGUCGUACCAGUUGACGAAACAACAAAACACAAUAAGCAACAUAUGAUAAGAUGUCCUCAACGGACAGUCUCUCUGUGUAAGCUUACUUGAAAUGAAAACAUCCUGACUGAAAGAAAAAUGUGUCAAAAAGGAAAAAUAUUUCCACGUUCCAAGCAGCUUGAAGUGGUAGUCAUACAAUAGAACCCAAAAAAGUGAAGCACUUUAAGCAAGGAAAACCACCCCCAUAACUUCUUACUCGAACUGACCAUUUUUCAAGCUACUUCCGCUCUUAGAUCUGACAUUCCCAUCGAAAUGCGUAGUCUGUGAUUCGUACCUAAUAAGGGCCACAAAAAAUUAUAUAGAUGAUACGUACUUGUAGUGAUAAAUAAAUUUCUAAUCCUGACAGAACAUAAUCUUCACCCAAAAAUAAAACCAGGAAACAUCACAAACAGAAGGCCAAAUUAAGAUAAGCCGUCAGCUAGGCAACUGCUAUACUGUGACUAGCCAUUAAUCUCCUACCAUCAAGUAAAUUGAUCAAUCAAACAAUAAGACGAUUGCUCAAAAGCAACCAUUCAAUCAGUUGAAAUAAUACUCAGAUUGCGAAGGAAGGGGGGCCAUUUCAAGCUGGAAUGAUUACUUGAACAAAAUAGUUAUAUCUCAUCUACACAGGCUAGACCUCAACAGUUAUAUCUCAUCUACUCAGGCUAGAACUCAACAAUUAGAUAGUAGAUAUAUCAGAGGCAAACUUGUACAACCUAAAAUCAAACAAUAUAAAAUUCAAAAAAGCUGAGGCUUCCUUUGUGUUUGCUCUUUAAAAAAAAUGCACUUGUUCCAAGAAAAGAAAAUGCUUCUACUGCUCCCACUUCACGUAAGCCAGGAAAAACUCAGAAACAACAUUCUUAAAAUUAAGAACAUGGAGCCGAUUGUGUUGGAUAACCUUAAUGCACUUGCAUUAUUUAAUGAACAUAAAAUCCAGUUGCCGCACCACCAUCUGUAACUCAUCAAAUAAUAAUAUUACUCAUCUUACCCAAAUAAACACGUGUCAAGAAUGGAACUUAGUUUCUUUCCAAAACCAGGAAUUGCUCCCAACCUCCUUCAUCGAAAGCCAGUCCUAACAUGUUAAGAAGAGUUCGCCUGAUCUUAAUAUGUGUAAGAUAAAUUGCAUAUGCUUGCAUUUCAUAAUAAUGAAACAUGACAAGUAAGUUUCAUGUCCAGCAAGAACCAGAUCAAUACCUCAUUUUCAGUAAGACUGGAAUAUUAUUCGUCGGCAAUUUCUUCACAUCGUAUGUGAGCAACCAUGACCUUAACACGGAUAGCAUGAUGGGUCCAUUAUCAUUCUCAUUAUCAGCAAUAUAUCCAGUCGCCCUUCAAUUAACACUCACCCUGUGUGCAGGCAAGUCCAAGUCCUUAUUCUCCUUAAUGACCAUCCAAAUACGCUGAGCACUAAAACAAAAUCCUGAACCAGGAACUGCCCUCUUCGAUCUCCUGCCAGCCCACCAGGUGCGGUACUAUCCAAGAACCACCCUCUAAGGGCAUCCACCUGUUCGUCCAAGGAAAUUCGACCAUAUGGCAAAAGAUUAGUGCAGAGAAAGGGUAAAAUCCAUUUGGCAAUCAAUGCUCCAAAUUCCAUAAUACAGAGUACAAGAAGAUGAGAUGGAAACAUAACACGUCUCAAACUACAAUUGAUUAAGAAUGUGAACAGAAGAGUAAUGAAAAUCACCAAACUCAAUAAGGGAUGACUGACCAAUGAUAACCCCAGAGAAAUCAGAAAUAGCAGUCGAUGAUGAGUGGCAUUUCCACAGAUAUUCCGAAACUCAUGCAUACGAGGACCGAAGCUUUGUCCUAAACAGUACUCAAGCACAGGAUUUAUGCGAAAGAAAGGGCGCCCACUGUGGCAUUUGAAAAUCUUGUCGAGACACAACAACAAUGCCGACAUAAAAAUUGGGCAAUCGUAUUCAAGGUCCAAACGUGCUUCUAUGGGAUGCAAGGUAAGUAUACCUCAUCUUUAAAUCGCUCUUCCUCUUCUUCAUAAUCAGAAAGAGCAGCGACCUCAACCUGAAAAGCAGAAGAGAGUCAUUAGGUUGAACUUCAUUUCGACGAUUAGAGGCAAAAGCAAAUCAUCGAGAGGAACUCAUACAAGCAUCGGAGCACCUACAUUAAAAAAAUGACCGACAGGAGUUCCCUUGUGCUGCUCUGACUUAGGAAUACUGUCCCAUAUCUGCAGGAAAAUACUAAAUGAAACCAGCAACGGCUUUACAAAGUCGAUUUUCCAAAGGAAAUGCAACAACCCUCACCUCCCGCACUUCUUCUCUCAAGGCAGCUCCUAGACAUUCGAAAGGAGUCUGGAUAAAAAGAAAAACCAGAGAGCAUAUAAAAAAUAAAUAAAAAUCAACUCAGAUGGGCAAAACUUACCGGAUGCAACCAAAACGAGCAAAUAAAAACCAUCACAAUCCGAAAUGGAAACAUGACUAAGUAUAGGUACUGAUGGUUUUAAUUGAUAUUGGGCUUAGGGCCCGUCCGCCCAUGCUGGGCCCAAAAGGCCCGGCCCACGGGAAUAGGGCCCGUGGAAGGGGAAGGUAUAAAAGGGAGGAGAGAGAGAGAGAAGACAACGUUUGGCUGAACGUACGUACGUUCUCUUCCUCGCUCUCUCUCCAAAAAGACAAAAAGAACAGUAAGGCAAACGGCACGUUCUUCUUCCCUUCAAGGCGCCAUCGGAUCGAACAGGACCAGAAUUUCUUCUCGAUCUUCAGCGUCGGUGUUUAAUCUGUGGCUAACAAGGUACGCUCGAAUCCGUGGUGUGCUUUACGAUCGGUGAUGCGUGUUUUCCCGGGCUUCGUCUUCCGCAUUGAUUUAGGGGUUCGAUUUAGUGUCGAAUCCGGCUUUCGGGGAUCAGUCAUUCCCAACAUUGGUAUCAGAGCCCUAGUUCACGUUUUUCCCGAUCAAUUUGAUGUUUUUUGCUUGACUUUUCGCAAAAAAAUUUCGGCCGUACGGAUCGGGGCGUCAAAAUCCCGACACCCGAGUACUGUACGUCCUGUUUUCUGAGUUUCCGUAAGUCGGAAUCAAAUUCUGAAGGCACUGGGUGAAAGGCGACGUCGAGACGAGUCCGGCGACAUGUCGUGCGUCGCCGGACGACGCUGCACGGGCCCACACGCGCGGCCACAAGCCGCUGCGCGUGGGCGCCACGCGCCCGAAGCGCUGGCUAUGGCCAGCGCGUGCGCAACACGCGCCGGUGACGAACCGGCACGUGCGCGCCGGCGACCGGCGAAACGGCACGCGCCGGUCCGCGGACCGACGCGUGCUGACGUCACGUGAUGACGUCACCGUGACGUCAUCACCAACGGUCGGUAACCGCUCGGAUGACGUCACCGAUGACGUCAUCACCAACGACGGUUGGCCGGCCGGCUACCCGACCCGACGGCGACCCGACCCGACCCGAUCAGCCUGGCGCAUGCCGCGCACGUGCGGCUGACGUCUGCGUGACGUCAGCACCCUCACGCGCGAGGCACGUGCCAGAUGACGUCUGCGUGACGUCAGCCAGCGCACGCGCGCGGCACGUGCGGUCGGUUCGUCCGACCGGCACGGCCGGUCCGACCGGCCCGACCCGUGACCGUUGACCGACCGUUGACCGUUGACUUUGACCGUUGACCCGGAAAAAAAAAAAAAAAAAAAAAAAAAAAAAAAAGAAAAAAAAAAAAGAAAAAGGAAUUUGUUUCUUUUUUCUAUUAUGUCUGUGUGGGUUGUAGGUAAUCCAUUUUUAUUUUGCAUUUGUUGCAUGAAUCAUGGAAAUUUAUGUAUUUUCCAUUUUGUUUAUUAUGGAUUAUAAGUGAUCCAUUUUAGUUCUGCAUUUGUUGCAGGAACUAUGAUGCGUUAUGCACAGAUACCUGCAAUCCCAAGAACGGACGAAGGAAGAGCUAGACUAAAAAGGCUGAUGAAAGAGUUAGCUGAUUAUCGGUGGCUUGAUGGUGAUUUAGUAUCACACAUGGUUAAGGUCAAUCAGAUGAUACAGGAAAUCAUCUGGAAUGGUUAUCUUAUGCCGGACUUUGAGAAGGUGCCGGCUUUGAUGAACACUCUUCCACCUGAAUGGCAAGCAGUGUUAGAUCGGCUAUGGGAGGUCAACGUGGUCCCGGAUUACAGGGGGCUAGUGGAAGCUUUUGUAAGAGAAUACUAUAGGAUUGAGUUGGCCAAAACUUCAACCCUUAGAUUGAGCGCCACAUGGCGCAGAGUGAAUGCGCCUUGGUGGCGACAUGAGAGCUCUCCAAAAGUUUUUCCAUGGUUGGCAAAUGUGCCUUCAAAUUUCUCAGAUAUUAUGGCUGAUAGAUUAGAAGGGACAUUCCCUAUUUAUUUCUUUGAUUAAUUAUGUAAUGUUUACUACCUGAUUGUUGUUGAUGUAGCAAUCGAUAUGUUAGUUGUAUCAUGUGAAAGCAUUGUUAUUUUAUUCGAUGUUAAGAUUUUAUUUGCUUUCUGCUAUUGCUGGUUGCUAUGGGUAAUUAGCUGUGGGUAGUAAUAGAAGUUUUUGUAACUUCAUAGAAUUUAUUUGCAUAAGAUAAUUAUAUUAAUAAUAAUUUUGAGUUAGGAUUUUUGGAGGAUGAUUGGAAACAUAGUGACCUUUUGAUUCUGAAGCCUUACUUGAAAUUAUUCAUUAAUAUAAUGGGUCUAUGCAAAUAGGGAUGCAUAAAUGAUAGGCAUUAAUUAUUCGUGCAUGUAUGUCUGAUGUGUUCAGAACGAUGGUUCAGCAACUAAGAAUGUAAUUGCUGAUAUGAACGGCUACAAUUGUGAAAUAUUGAAUAUGAAGAUUCAAUAUGUGCUGGAAAAGCAAGAAGCACUAGAAGCUCUUGACCAUGUUAUGGAAGAUCUUGAGAAUGCUGUGCGCCACCUUGAGCUGGUAGAGGACCGCUUAACGGCAUGUGAGCUGAGAAUAGAUAUUUGCAAUGCUGGUUCUAGCUCAUAAAGGGUUUUGAGCUCUAAGCGCAAGCGUAUUGAUUCGUUCAAUAUGUGGGAAUGCAAAGGAUCAAAUCCUUAUUGCAAGAGAUCAAAAGUUAACCAACACAAGAGAGGAAAACGUCCUCAAGUGAAGAAAAUGUCAAGGGUGAAAUGUUACAACUGUGAUAAGAAGGGUCACUAUGCUCGCGACUGUCGUGAGCCAAAGAAGGUAAACACCUUUUGUACAUUUGAGAACUUUGAUUAUGUGUCAAGUUCUGAAUUAUUGGCUGAAUCCAAUCCUUUGUGGACUGUAGAUUCAGGAGCAACAGACGAUGUAGCGAAGGAUAAAGGAUCCUUCGUGGAAUUCCGACGAAUACCAACUGGAACUGAGUGGAUCUAUGUGGAAAACAACUCCAGAGCUGAAGUUAAAAGGAUUGGCACCUGCCAACUGAACAUGUGUGGUGGACGCAACUUGUUCCUGCAUGAUGUUAUAAAUGCUUUGGAGAUUCGUCAAAAUUUAAUUGUCUAUUUUGAUGUUGGUUAAGCUUGGUUUUAGUGUGAACUUCCGUAAUAACGGUGUAGAUUUGUAUUUGGAUACAAAUUACUAUGGUUGUGGUCACUUUCUGGAUGGUUUUAUUGUACUGAAUGUUGACUGAGGUGAUGUCAAUAUGUUAUUCCCUUGUUUCACGUCUUUUACUUCAUGUGAUAAUGAUGUGAAUGUGUGGUAUGCUAGACUUGGUCAUAUUGGCCAACAACAUAUGAAUAGACUAGCCAAAGGGGGCUUGUUGGGCAAUAUUGAAAAAGUCGAUUUGUCCAUAUGUGAGCAUUGCCUAGUAGGGAAAACGACAAGGAAACCAUUUGGAAAAGAUAAAAGAGCUGACGUUCCUCUGCAUUUAAUCCAUUCUGACGUUUGUGGUUCAAUGAAUGUGAGAGGAAGGCAUAGGACUGUUUACUUCAUCACUUUUAAUAGAUGAUUAUACUCGAUUCGGAUGUGUCUAUUUGAUUUCUCAUAAAUCUGAAGCAUAAGUUGUUUCAAAAGGUUUAAUGAACUUGGUAGAAAAUCAAUUAGACAAGAAAAUAAAAGCAUUGAGAUCCAAUCGAGGUCGAGAAUAUUUAUCUGAUGAGUUCAGAAAAUAAUGUGAUGAAAAGGAAUAGAAAUACAGUUGUCUAUUCCAUAUACUCCUCAACAAAAUGGUGUUGCAGAGAGAAGAAACAGAACCCUACUGGAAAUGGUUAGGUCCAUGAUGGCGCAUGCUAACUUACAUAUCACUUUUUGGAGUGAUGCGUUGUUAACUGCUGCCUAUAUACUUAACCGGGUGCCUUCCAAAAUCAGUUAGUUCCACUCCAUAUGAGUUAUGGACAGGUAGAAAACCGGACUUAAGUUUUCUUAAGCCAUGGGGUUAUGCUGCCUAUACUCAUGAGUCCUCUCACAAGUUUGGGAAAUUGGGUCCUAAAGGAAAGAAGAGUAUUUUAAUGAGAUACUCCGAACACUCGAAAGGGUAUGUGUUCAUAGGUGAGCAGGAAAGUGGGAGUAUGACUAAAUUUGAAUCACAGGAUGUCACAUCCUUAGUGGAUGAAUUUCCUAAGAGGGGCGAAAUAGGAGAAUAUUGUUUCCUAUUUGAAACCUUGGAUCAAGAUAAUGAUAUUAGUGGAGUUCGUCCAAGUGGGAGUAAUAUGAGAAGUGAUGAAUUGAAUUCAACUCAUUCUCAAUUACAACCACAUGAUGAGAUGAUAUCGUCAUUAUCUAAUCCGAGUGGGAGCAUAAUUGGGAAUGAUGUGCUAAGUGUACUAUCUCCCAUACGGCGAACAAGUCGCCACUUUUAUAAUUGCUCCACAAGAUGAGGAUGAGCCAAGAAAUAUUAAUGAGGCUCUGAAUUGCCCUAGUAAGGAAAAAUGGAUUAAUGCAAUGGAAGAGGAAAUUGAGUCAAUGAAAUCAAACCAAGUCUGGGAACUGGUUGAUCUUCUAAGAGGGCGCAGAGCUAUUGGGAACAAGUGGGUUCUCAAAAUAAAGCGAAAGGCUGAUGGCUCGAUAGAAAGGCAUAAGGCUCACCUUGUGGCGAAGGGGGUAUAAUCAACAGGAAUGAAUUGAUUAUGAAGAUACAUUUUCUCCUGUAGUGAGAUUUACCUCGAUUCGCAUUAUUCUGGCAAUAAUGGUUAGUAUGGAUCUUGAGUUACAUCAAAUGGAUGUAAAAACUGCUUUCCUCAAUGGAGAAUUAGAGGAAGAAAUAUAUAUGGAACAACUUGUUGGUUUCAUAGUGAAAUGCCAAGUUGAGAAAAUGUAUGUCGACUUUGGGGGUCGAUAUAUGGCCUUAAGCAGUCGUCAAGACAAUGGUAUAUACGUUUUCAUAAUACCAUAAUGGCAUAUGAUUUUACAAUGAUAGAUGAGGAUCAUUGUGUAUAUAUCAAAAGAUCCAAUGAUCAAUUUGUGAUCAUAUCAUUAUAUGUUGAUGAUAUACUAAUUGCUGGAAGUAAUAUGGAGUUUGUCAAUACAAUCAAAAGUUGGUUGUCUUCCAAUUUUGAAUUGAAGGAUAUGGAAUAUUAAACCCAUAGACACUCCUAUUGCAAAAGGUGAAGGAUUGAGCCAUAGACUGUGUCCAAGGACUCCACAAGAGAAGGAACAAAUGAAACAUGUUCCUUAUGCUAGUGCUGUUGGGAACUUGAUGUACACUAUGAUGUGUACAAGACCUGACAUAUGUUUUGCAGUUGGAAUGGUGAAAAGAUACCAAUCCAAUCCAUGUCAAGCACAUUGGAAAGCCGUUAAGAGAAUACUGAGGUAUCUAAAUGGAACUGCUGAUUAUAUGCUGAGUCAUUGAGGAAAGGAUCUGCGACUCUAAAGCUAUUAUGAUGCUGAUUGAGAAGGAGAUUUAGAUGAAAGAAAAUCUAUCUCUGGGCUUGUUUUCUUACCGAAUAAUGGCACCAUAUGUUGGAGCAGUAAGAAACAAAAGUGUAUAACCUUGUACACGAUGAAAGUAGAGUUCGUGGCAUUAUCAGCAGCAGUGUAAGAAGGUGUUUGGCUUAAGAGAUUUUUUGGAUCAUUUAGGUGUUAUUGAAAGUGCUGCAGAUUCAUUGUUGGUUAACUGUGAUAGCCAAGCAGCAAAAGUGUACACCAAAGAUCCAAAAUAUCAUGGCAAGACCAAACAUAUAGAUACCAAGUAUAAUUUCGUCAAAGAUAUGGUUGCACGAAAAGAUGUGAACUUAUAGUAUAUACUACGCAUAGAAUGGUAGCAGAUCCUAUGACAAAGCCAAUACCUAGAGAUGUGUUUUGUGGCUAUAUGAAAUCUCUAGGAUUGUGUAGAGGCUGAUGUACUGAAUAUUGUAAUUUUCCUAAGUGUUCACAAUUUGAUGAAUUUGUGUUUUCAUCAUUAAUGCCUAUGAAUCUUUGUUUGAUCUUUAUGCAUCUUAAUGCUCAGUGCAUUACUUUAAGUUAAGAGAAGUAUGUCAGACAGAUAUAAGAUUAGCCCACUCACACGGGUAAUCGCCUCUAUUUACUGUGUGAUAAAUAGAGAUGAGACUGUUUUUAAGCUUAUUAUCUAGGUGAUAAUCGAGAGCUCAAGCUUAAAACACGUAUGUCGCCUUAACUAGGUGUUAAGAUGAGGACAUAAUACUUACUAUGUUCGAGAGUAAAAUACUCCACAUAUUUUACUUUAUCUGUCUAUGAUGCCAGAUGUGAGUUCUGAUGAAUUUAGUGAAUGAGUAGAUACGUAAACUCAAAUUAGACAUUGGGUAUGUCUGAACUAUCAUCUGUACAGUAUUGAAAGGUGUAGACAUACGCUCCAUGGGAAAGGAGUUGAUACCGUAAUACGUAUUUCAUACUACGUAUGCAUGAGACGACCAAUAAGAGUGGCAAAAGUUUGAUCUCAACUUUUUUAUGUCGUGUGAGACUCUUGAGGAAAAGAGUUCCUCAAUUUUUUAGUCCCCUCAUGACUCUUACUUAUUCUCAAGAUUUCUAUUUAGUGUUUGCUAUCUUAGGAUGUUGCCAAUGGUCAUGAGUUUGAUUCGAUCUAAUGGGGCAUUUCUAGAAAAGCAAGCUGAACUGAAAUUGAGAGUUUGAAGGGAAGAGGAAGAUUGAUUUUGGAGAAUCACAUUAUAGUUUUGUAUUCACCGGUUAACCAAUUAUGACUGUCUUUGGGAUAAUUAUAAUUGUGAAUACAAUACAUAUAUCAUUGUUUGAAAGAGAUCAAGAGAGAUAUAAAUGUGAUCGAUCGAUCUAGGGUACUGCAUACUAAAUCUACUCGGAGUGUGAUGCCCAUUAUGAGCUGCUAUAUAUUCCUAACAGAUGUAUGGCAACGAGCUCUCAAAGUAUGCUGGUCGCACGGAUUAUUCACCGGUAUGAAUGUUGAAGAGAGGUAAAGAGAAUUCUGUUUGGCCCACCAUGUGCGAGUGGGAGAUGAUGGUUUUAAUUGAUAUUGGGCUUAGGGCCCGUCCGCCCAUGCUGGGCCCAAAAGGCCCGGCCCACGGGAAUAGGGCCCGUGGAAGGGGAAGGUAUAAAAGGGAGGAGAGAGAGAGAGAAGACAACGUUUGGCUGAACGUACGUACGUUCUCUUCCUCGCUCUCUCUCCAAAAAGACAAAAAGAACAGUAAGGCAAACGGCACGUUCUUCUUCCCUUCAAGGCGCCAUCGGAUCGAACAGGACCAGAAUUUCUUCUCGAUCUUCAGCGUCGGUGUUUAAUCUGUGGCUAACAAGGUACGCUCGAAUCCGUGGUGUGCUUUACGAUCGGUGAUGCGUGUUUUCCCGGGCUUCGUCUUCCGCAUUGAUUUAGGGGUUCGAUUUAGUGUCGAAUCCGGCUUUCGGGGAUCAGUCAUUCCCAACAGGUACCAACCCUCCUUGUUUUAUCCCGCAAUACGAAUACGAUAGUUGUUUUCCUUGGACAAAACAAUCGCAUCAUGGCCUUCAAGAAGAGUCGCAACUUUAUCAUAACUCUUAAAACUAAACAUUUAGCUUAUCUUAAGGCAAGAGGACAAGAAACACCUGGAAUACAGGUUUCAGAAAAGGCUUGCUGGCAGCUUGUGCACGGCCAAUAUAAUGACCCCACCUAUGAAAAAGAUGCUAAAAAGAAGACAAGAAAUACCUGGAAUACAGUUUUGAGCAGAAACCUGCUCCCAGCUUGCUCAAGGCCGACCCAACGACACCAUCUAUGAAAAGAUGCUUAGAAAGGGCAUUAGGAAAAUACAAAAACAACAACCUCGUAGAUAACGCUGCAGAAAUAGAAACAGUAUCUCACUAGAGGAAAGCAAAAGCCUCACAUGUUUGUGAGCACUAUAUCGGAGACAGCCAAAGCAAAAAGAGCGCUCUGCUUUUCGAAGGAAGUAUCGUCCUGUAUAAAAAUGACACCGGUUAAGCAGCUGCAAGAAUGCUAAUUGCUGCCUACUCAAACCAAGUGUAAAUCAGGUGAAUUUCAAUGAGCGUCAGCUACACAUAAAUCAACCUUCUGGGUUGGUAAGAUGAGAAAAGCCAUACAAAAGUGGAAAAGCUACAGCAGCUACCCGAUGAACAAAUGGAAAAGCUACAGCAGCUACCCGAUGAACAAAUUAACGUUUCAACAUGUACAAAAAAUUAGAAUUCGCAAUUACAUAUGGACAAAAAUAAGUAGUUGAACAUGGACAAAUUAAGCUAUUAUAUAUCCAUGCAAAAUCAUCUAGUAAAUACACCUGUCUUACUUUUCCAUCCGUCCCCUCCAAGUCCAUAACUAGAGUGCACGGUUCAAUCCCAACAGCUUUCGCGAUCCAUAUUCCUUCGGUGGUUUGGGACCUGAAAAAAUAACAACCUGGCUUUGGACAUUUUUCCUAAUCCAAAUCACUUGAGUGACCUAAAGGACGGUUCAAAAACAUACCUCCCUCUGGAUCCAUUUCCCUGAACUUUGUGCCAACCAGUGCAUUCACAGCGUGCUCUUGCCUGUCAGAAUCAAUAGAAACUUUUGUCGUAAAACAUUGAAAAAAGAAAAAAAAAAACAUUUUGUCCAAGAAAUACCACCUAUAUAUAACUUCACUGAAAAUUAUCACAAGCAAUAUAUCCCGAAAGAAUGCUAAGUUAUUUCUAGUUAAACAUAAGAAAUCCAAUUAAGAAGAAAAAUAUCCACCGAGCAAAAGUAGUGACUAGGUUUCUAAACAAACUGAGUAGCCAAGCUAUUCAAUAGCAAGAUAGGAACUCACUGCUCUGAGCCUUUGCCCAGCCCCAAUUUUGGAGAGUGCGCAUGUGAUGAUAUCGGAUAGUUUCUCAAAAAUGCUUUGGUGCCCUAUUAAUUGCAUAGAUAAUCAUUAGAUUAUCACAAAGAAAUGUUGAUUUAACGCUUUAUUUCUCUUUUAAUCUAUCCGACCAUAUAAAUUGAAUAAAUGAUCAAGAUAUACUGUUCGGGAAAGGGUUUGAUCACGAACUUAUGUCCAGAUUUAACGCUUAAUUGUAUAUCCCUUUUAGUCUAUAAUCGGGAGUAUGUUUGUUAUCACAUGUUCUUUGUUAUGAAAGUUGUGCCGAUUUUUCAUGGACAGAUGACCCUGCUAAAUGUUCCCUUACUCAAUUCAUAGACGCAAGGGGUGCUUUCAAGAUCCAUGCAUUAGAAAAAUUCAUCAAUGAUGUGAGAUUGGAGGAAACAAGCGUUUCAUACGUUGUCAUUUCUAUAUUCGGGGCUCAGAGCAGUGGUGAGUUCCUAUCUCUCAGUUUGUUUAGAAACCUAGUCACCACUUUUGCUCAGUGGAUACUUUUGCUUCUUAGUUGGAUUUCUUAUGUUUAAGUAAAAAUAACUUAGCAUUCUUUCGGGAUAUAUUACCUGUGAUAAUGUUCAGUGACUUUCGGGAUAUAUUGCCUGUGAUAAUUUUCAUCGAAGUCAUAUAUAGGCGGUAUUUCUUGGACGAAAUUUUUCUUUUUUUUUCAAUAUUGUACGACAAAAGUUUCUAUUGGUUCUGACAGGCAAGAACACGCUGUUGAAUGCACUAUUUGGCACAAAGUUCAGGGAAAUGGAUCCUUCAAGAGGGAGGUAUAUUUUUGAACGGUCCUUUAGGUUCUAGUGAUUUGGAUUAGGAAAAAUGUCCAAAGCAGGUUGUUAUUUUUUCAGGUCCCAAACCACCGAAGGAAUGUGGAUCGCGAAAGCUUGUGGGAGUGAACCGUGCACUCUAGUUAUGGACUUGGAGGGGACGGAUGGAAAAGUAAGCCAGGUGUAUUUACUAGAUGAUUUUGCAUGGAUAUAUAAUAGCUUAAUUUGUCCAUGUUCAACUACUUAUUUUUUUUCCAUAUGUAAUUCUAGAGUGACCUAAAGGACGGUUCAAAAACAUAGAAAAGGGAUCCAUUUCCCUAAACUUUGUGCCAAAGAGUGCAUUCAACAGCGUGCUCUUGCUUGUCAUAACCAAUAGAAACUUUUGUCGUAAAACAUUGAAAAAAGAAAAAGAAAAACAUUUUGUCCAAGAAAUACCGCCUAUAUAUGACUUCACUGAAAAUUAUCACAGACAAUAUAUGCUGAAAGUCAAUGAACAUUAUCACAGACAAUAUAUCCCGAAAAAAAUGGUAAGUUAUUUCUAGUUAAACAUCCAAUUAAGAAGCAAAAGUAUCCAUAGUGACUAGGUUUCUAAACAAACUAAGUAGUCAAGCUAUUCGAUAGCGAAAUAGGAACUCACCAUUGGUCUGAACCCGAAUAUACAAACAACGACGUAUGAAACACCCAUUUCCUCUAAUCUCAUGUCACUGAUGAAUUUUUCUAUUGCAUGGAUCUUGAAAGCACCGCUUGCGUCUAUGAAUUGAGUAAGCAGGGUCAUUUGUCCAUGAAAAAUCGCCACAGCUUUCAUAACAAAAAACAUGUGAUAACAAACAUACUUCUGAUUAUAGACUAAAAGGGAAACACAAUUAAGCAUUAAAUCUGACAUACUUUCGUCAUCAAACCCCUUCCCGAACAGUAUAUUUUGAUCAUUUAUUCAAUUUAUAUGGUCGGAUAGAUUAAAAGAGAAAUAAGGCAUUAAAUCAACGUAUUUUUGUGAUAAUCUAAUGAUUAUCUAUGCAAUUAAUAGCUGCCUGUAUCGACAACCGGCAACGGAGGAGACUCCAUGAUCGGCGAAUCCCAAGCGCUCAUCCCUCAAUCACAGAGCACCUGUUCAACAGAAACCGAAACUCUACAGAUCACCGACCAACUUGCAAUAUCCAACGGACUGCCUCGCGAAAUUCGCCUAAAAACAAUGGGGCAAUCAAUGAUAAUCAAGAAGAUUCUCGAAGCCUACCGGAGUCUCCGGACGGAAGGAGAAGGGACUUCUUCGGUGCGAGGGGAAAGUAUUAGUAAUAGCUACUAGCUAGGGACAUCAAAAUGGUUUGCUCUCGAAGGUACGAGAUGGGCCCCAAAGUAUCUCCCUAGCCCAAAAUUCGAAAUGGGCCCCGACGGACCCGGAACCGGCUCUUCGGUCCGUGCCGUGCUGACCUGGAAUUUGGGCCUGCGUGGGUUUUCAUUUGGGAAUGCCUCUCUCACACGGAGCGACAAAGAAAUUAUGGGAAGACAUAUUGAAUGGAGCCUCAUCAUUGGGGCGAGGAGCUUGACGACGAGGGAUGUCAGCCGGAGAUGGUGGGGCUAUGUCGAAAGGGGGUGGUGGUGGCUUGGAAGAAACUAAGCUUCGUUGGUUUUGGGAAGAAGACGGGAUGCAAAUGGACCGGGCGUACCGGGCCUUGUGGGAACCGGCCUCAACAGACCGAGUUCGAUCGCCAAGGAUCUAGAAAUUAGAAUAUUUCUUUCCUUUCAAGGGGGGAAAAAAGCUUAGGAAAUUGACACAAUUAGUCAAGAAAAAAAAAACUAGCUGGAAUUGGGGGUAAGGGGAGGAAGCUCAACCUCUUCAAACAAUAGAGCGUGCAGGCAGGACGCCAAGUUUCCGAACUACCACUGCUAGUCCCUUAUGGUCUUCGGACCUAUGGAUCCAGCACUACGUGCAAUUAAUGUCUAAAUUACUCGACUUUGUUAUAUAAUAAUUUAAAUCAAUAAUGCAGAUUUUUUUUAAUCUACAUUGGGAAGAGGAUAGUGCAUGUGUGCGGUGAAAUUUGAUAGCAUUUAGACAGCAAAGAGGUAAGGCAAGAAGUUUGCACACGUGGAUACGGUGGAGCAUAUAUAGUACAUGGUAGAUUUUUUUCGUUCCUAUUUAUGUCGUAAGUAUCAUAUUCAUUGAUCACUUGAACGUACAAUAUUGCAAUUUAUAGCUUCCAUAUCAUGCAAUAUCAGCGCAUUCGUGGCUCCAUUUACUCGUGAUUUUUUCCAACAUAUGCACAUACUAAAUAGGCCUAUGUGAUUGUUGCAAAAAAUAAGUGAUCAAACAAAUAGUAAAUGAAACAAGAAAAUAAAUCAAAUAUUGAAUUUACAUGGUUUAAUUGAUGCGAUCUAUUCUAUUUGGACACGUAACAUGCAUUAUCUAAGUUGACUUCAUAUUAUAAUCGGUCAAUUUCUCGGUAGGCUUCAGGUCCAACUGCGAGUUUGUUGCCUGUCCAAAAGGUCAUAAUCAAUUAAUCUACUAGGCGAAACCUCAUCAAACGAAAUUGAUGAUUCUUUGUUGGUCUUCUACUAGAUCCAAACUUCCAUUCUCUAUAAUUGAGUUGACCAUUUGAAGUGAAUAAUAUAUCAGCCAUUGAUAGAGGAACCAUUCCCCCGAUACUAAUUUACAAGUGCACGUCCUAUUCAUGAACUGGCAUUCAGUGAAGUAUUAACAUAUUCUUAUGACUCAUUAAAACAUUGAUGUUGUUCUUCUUGGCCUUGAGAUGGUAGAUCUCUCUCUCUCUCUCUCUCUCUCUCUCUCUCUCUCUCUCUCUGUGAAAUGCAGAAAUCAAUGAGAAGAAAGGUUUGAUAUGCCAUGAAGAUCUUAAAGAUGUUGCAUGUCUUGGUUGGUUGUCUAGCUCUAGGAGUUUUCGCUCGUGGGCAACAAAAUCCAGGUUCUAUCUCUCACAUACACGCGUGCUUACAGUGAUCAUUGAAUUGUGAAGAGUUAGAGACGUUAGAUAAAAGGGAUUUUAGAAAACAGCACGGUGAUGAUUUAGUGUCUACCUUUCUUUCCAUUGGCAAUUGACCUUGCAAGCAGAAGACAAAAAAUAGUCAUACUCAAAUUCGUCUUAGAAAAUGAGUACUGAGUAUAUAAGCGGAGUUGAGCUCAAGGAGUUUUAAAUUUUUUUAAGUUACACAUAGCAAUAAUUUGUACACAACUUUAGGAAUUUAGGAAAGUUAAGGCCGUUCUACAUUCUCUACGAAACAUCCACAAAUCCUCCUUUAUAAUGGAGAGUUAGUAGUGUAUCAUCCUCUAACUUACUUUAUUUUUGCAAUUGAUAUCUCUGUUUUCAAGCUUUUCACAUAUGCCUUUACCAUCCGGUUAUCCAUCAAAACUUCUUUUCAACUAACAAUUAUCAAGUCAGUUCUUAAGUACGUAAUUUUCAUUGCUGAAAUGUCCUUCUAGUUGAUAUAGUUGUUAAAAAAUUAGAUAAAAAAGAUUUAAGGGACAUUGCAAAGCAUCAAGAAAUUUAUAUCACUGUUUAAAUUUCGAAUUCGUGAUGCAUGGUGAAAAGCAAGUGACAAUCUCUAGUUCCCCCUCGAUUUAGGUUUCAUAAGCAUCGAUUGCGGUGCACCUAAUGAUUACCAUGACGACCAGCUCGACAUAUACUACAAGGCUGAUACGGGGUUUGUAGAUUCUGGGACAAACAUGCAGGUGUCUACCCAAGUCAUCUACCAAGACAACCAACAACAAUCAAAGAAUCUCAGGAUCUUCUCCAGUGGAAUAAGGAAUUGUUACACAUUAAUGCCAGAUAAAGGAAAGGGCAACACAUAUUUGGUCAGGGCUUCAUUUUGGUAUGGGAAUUAUGAUGGCAAGAAUCAAACCCCAGCAUUUGACCUCCAUAUUGAUGUUAACUAUUGGAUCACAGUGAACUCUCCAUAUUAUGUAUGCGCAGAGAUUAUUUACACUCCUCCAAGAGAUUACAUACAAGUUUGCUUGGUGAAUACUGGCUCAGGAGUUCCAUUCAUAUCAGCUCUCGAGUUGCGAAUACUGGAUAACUCGACAUACCAAAUCAAUUCCGGUGCACUUAUAACCCAAUGGAGAUAUAAUUUAGGGAGUAUAGACACAUACAGGUGAUUUUCUUUGUUAUUACCUAUGAUAUUCAAACGUUGACCACAUUCAUCAGUAUGCAAAUGACAUGUUGUAUACACAUUUACUAAACGUGCAAUUUCACAUUAUGCAAAGCAUGAACAUUAGAAAAUGUGAUGUUAUUCCCAAACCAAUUUGUGUCGGCUUGUUCAUCAUCUUGCACUUACUGUUAUGAUUAUUUGACUGGCAUUGGCAUUAAUAGGCAUCCACAAGAUGUAUGUGAUCGCAUCUGGAACAAUAACACUUAUAGUGGAGGUUUGUCGUCAGUCAGCAACACGACGGCCAUCGUGACAAGUACAAGCAAUGAUGCCUAUGAAGUUCCACCUGAAGUUUUGAUGACCGCCACACAAGCACAAAAUGUCACCGAUCCUCUGAGUCUGUCUUGGACCUCACACAACUCCACUACUAUUUGGUAUGUGUACUUCCACUUUGUGGAAUUGCAACUGCAAAAGGGUCAAUUCAGAGAACUUACAGUGUAUGUACAAGACACAUUCGUGGAAACUGUCAUGCUCGAGGACCUGAAGCCAGUGACCAUAGUCUCAUUGCCCAUAAGUGGACAUAAUUUGAGCUUAACUGUUAAUGCGACAGCCCGCUCUAGUCUGCCACCGCUCCUCAAUGCCGUCGAGUUUUUCACUGUGGUCCAGCUUCUAAAUUCACCGACUUUUCUUGAUGACUGUAUGUAUAUAUCUAUGCUCUCACCUAAGUUUUUGCUUGAAUACUCUUUGAUUUCCUUAUGACUGUAGCUCUUUAUUUGGUGGUUUAGUCAAUGCCAUGUAUGAUAUCAAGAAGACAUAUGGGGUGAUCAGAGCAAGCUGGCAGGGUGAUCCAUGCAUUCCUACACAGUACUCAUGGAAUGGUCUGAAUUGUAGCUCUGAUAGUUCUCCAAGAAUCAUCUCAUUGUAAGUCUACAAAAACAUAUUUCCUGUGACACAAUGCUGCAUUGGAACCGCACAAGUCUCAAAAUAUAAGUUUACUUGACAAUAACUAUGGUACAGAUUGGUAAUACAUCAUGCGAGGAAAGGAAGAUUUUGAAAAUUAAGUCUCUAAAUUGAUGCCUUCCAUGUUAAAAGUUUUUUUUUUUGGCCGAUAAAAAAAUUAAAAAAAAAAAUUGAAGCGGUGGGAUUUUACUCUAAUCAAGAUAGCUGCUGAUGUGCAGGAACCUGAGCUCUAGUGGACUGAAAGGACUUGUAGCUACAUCAAUCUCCAAUUUGACAGCAGUUGUAUCCCUGUAUGCAUUAGCAGUUUUUCUUUUAUUUUAUUUUAUUUGAACAGAAAGAGAAUGGACGACACUAAGCCCAAAAAAAGCGACACGCUUCUUUAUCAUGAGCAUGAUGUUCAUUAUCUACCUUACCCUGUUUUAUGCAUUUCAAAAAGUACAUGCAUAUGAAGUUUCUUAGCACUUUUUUGGCUUAAAUUCAGGGAUUUAUCCAACAAUUCAUUAACCGGGUCCGUGCCAGACUUUUUAGCACAAAUGCCGAGCUUGAAAAUUCUGUGAGUCACUGAGCUUUUAACGGAAAGAUUAUGUGUGGUCAUCUAGCUCGAGCAAAUGGCUAUCAACUUCUAAUCAUGGAUAUUUGCAGGAAUUUAAGUGGAAACAACUUGAAUGGCUCUGUUCCUCAAACUCUCUUGAAGAAGAUGACAGAUGGAUCGUUACUACUUAGGUUCGCUCAUUGCCACGCUAUCAUAACACUACGUUUAAUCACUGAUUAUUAUCUGUACAAUCUGCUUCCUCUUUCUGUAUUUGCUGAUCACACUGAAGAAUGAACAGGAUAAUAAGUGAUAAUUGCUCUUUUAGUUUUCUCUUUGAUCAACUUAUGUAUGUAAUAUAUGCACGGUCGGAUAUCCAAGAAUUCAUGUGCUAAUCUUUUGGCAUUGACAUGUACCAUCGACGUUUUUCGACAGCUUAGAUGGAAAUCCAAAUCUUUGCCAAUCAGACGGUUGUCAGACCAGUGUGCAGUCGAAGAAAAAGGGCAUCUCUAUUGCUCCAAUCAUUGCAUCAGUUGCAGCCGCUCUGGUCUUGAUUUUAGUGGGAGCUCUUGCAGUAUUGUGGAAAAUCAAAAGAAGACAAAUCCAAAGUAACUCUCUUGCGUAUUGCAUGUACAAGAAAAAUCAAAAGUUUUACAUGUGAUUUUCUCAAUCCGGGUUGGGUUUUCAACCAUAAACUGGUUUAACUGGUCCAAUUGCUCAUGGCCCUUUCGACAAUCGGGCCCGGAAAAAGUGAACAUGAAUCUUGCUUCUGUGCAUCACUGUUUCACGUUAAAAAACCUAUGCACGCAUUAUUUGUUCAUAGUAUCAUAAUCGCGUCAAAGCGUACCCACAUUUCAUGUAGAUAAAGGCACGAAUAAUUCCUCAUUUGGUUGAGGUAACUCGCUUCGCUCUUUCUGGUUCAUUUUUCAUAACAUGGUCUCUUCUUUAUUUAAGUCAUUACAUACUUCUUCAAGAAGAUUCUAUUUGCAGUUAAGGCAUAUGAUAUCAGACUGAAGGUCAUAAUCUGCUUAACUCUGUUAAGGUUAUGUAAUUUCCUUUUCAUUUCUCCAGAUGUUACUACUACUACCACAACUACAAACUCUACCAGAGAAUUUACUGGGACAUUAAGGUUGUCAAAAAAUCAACUUUUUACAUCCACUGAGAUUACAAGAAUUACUGAUAACUUUGGAACAAUAAUCGGAGAGGGAGGAUUUGGGAAAGUUUACUUGGGCAGACUUGACAAUGGCACUAAAGUCGCGGUAAAAAUGUUAUCUCGAUCAUCCAAGCAAGGCUACAAGGAGUUUCAUGCAGAGGUUCGAAACAUUACUGCAACUAGAAUCAAUAAGUCCUGUUUUCGAUUUUUUGGGUGUUCUACUCAUGACAAGCUCUGAAACCUUGAUGUGCAGGCGCAACUCCUGAUGGUUGUUCACCAUAGAAAUCUAGUUUCACUUAUCGGAUAUUGCGAAGAAUUUGAAAACAUGGCACUGAUUUAUGAAUUCAUGUUCCAUGGAAAUGUUCAGCAACAUUUGUCAGGUUUGUCACAUAUUUCCUUCUCCAAAUUCUAACCAGAUAAAGCAUCACUUGGACUCUCGCUACAUGACAGGACAACACAUGUCGAUUUACAUUUUAUCUCAACUCUGUUCUUUCAUAGUUCAGGCUUUUGGAUUAAUCGGUCAAGUGACAUAGUCAUUUAUAGCACAAUGGAAAUGAAAUUAACUUUCUCAGCGAAUGAAUAAGAUGGAGAACAGGAUUUUAUAUCUUUUGUGAUUGGAAUACUUCCUUAAUCCUCUACUUUCAAGCAGCACAAAACCCGAAUGUUUUGAGUUGGAGCCAGAGACUACAAAUCGCAAUCGAUGCAGCUCAAGGUACAUAAAGUAGACUGAUGAAAUCUUUGUUCACAUAUCCACAAGUCAAGCAAUACGGUACACUUCAUUAAGUUUUCUUUUUUGUUGGUGGUGCAGGGUUGGAGUACCUGCAUAAUGGUUGUAGACCUCCCAUUGUCCAUAGAGAUUUAAAGACGCCCAAUAUUUUACUAAACAAAAACAUGCAAGCGAAGAUUGCUGAUUUUGGAUUAUCGAAAGCAUUUGCAACAGAGCAUGAUUCUCACAUUUCAACUCACGUAGCAGGAACUUUUGGUUAUCUUGAUCCAGAGUAAGCAACUUGAACCACCAAUUCUGAAUACAAAGACCAUUCCACCUAGGAAGCAAAAUAACUGUACUUAUUUAGACCAGCACGACAGGCCCAUACAUUUUUUUCGUACAUGUUUAUGUUGGAUACACGUUUGUAGAUACGUUUUUGUAAAGGCAGUCUGGGCAAUUAUUGUCCUAAUCAAAGCAAUAAUUCCUUUUGAAUCCUCAGGUUUUAUACAUCUGGAAACUUGAGCAAGAAGAGCGAUGUGUACAGCUUCGGUGUAGUUUUAUUUGAGCUAAUCACGGGACGCCUGGCCAUUAUGAGAAGUCCAGAGGGCAGCAGCAUGCACAUACUUCACUGGGUGACUCCACUCAUAGAAAGAGGGGACAUCCAAAGCAUUGUCGAUCCCAGGUUAAAUGGCCAAUUCAGCAUCAAUUCUGCAUGGAAAGCGGUGGAAAUAGCCAUGUCGUGUGUGCCGAUUAUGGCAGUCCAAAGGCCGGACAUGAACCAUGUUCUGUCAGAACUAAAAGAAUGCUUGACAGCAGAGAUCGGUUCAGGAAGAAUUGAGUCUUUUGAGAUUACCUCAAUUGACGUUGAGAUCACUCCGAGUGCUCGUUAACCAUACUUCAUCUAUAAGGUUAUCAUGUCCAUCUUCCUUGUAUAAGUUGUUGGUUAUUACAUCGAACAGAUUCGAAAACUCUUGUGCAAAGUCUGCGCUUGUGACUGUAAAUUGCGAGUGAUGGAUAUUGGGGUUGUUGCUUUUCUAGCUUAGUGAAUAAAUGAGUGAAUGGAGAGUUCACUUCACACUUCGACCCCUCUUUACAAGGCUACAAACUGUACAGUUAUCAAGAUGUUGAUAGCUAGCCUUGCUCAGCUGCGCAGCUAUUCAUGUGAACCCCUGUAUAACGCAGCAGAGGAAAAAUGAAUUUUUUUCGUUGUUAUACUAUCUGUUUUAUGAACCAAAGUCAUCUUUUGACAAUCUUUGCCACCCACAACCACCAAAGUACUAGCCACCAGGCCACAAUGAGAAGCCCAAAGAGCAGCACUCACGUCACCCAAUGGGCGUUGCCUCAAAUCGAACAAGAGGAUAUAGAGAGCAUCAUGGAUCAGAGGCUACACGGGCAGUUCGACACCGCAUCUGCUUAUUAACUAGUCGAGGCAGCAAUGUCGUGUGUGGUCGUGACUGCAAACGAGAGGUCGAACAUGAACCCGCAUGCUGUUGGAGCUGAAGGAAUGCUUGACUCUUUCUAGGCGACGUACCUGAUGAACCGAGGGAUUUUGUUCUACUUCACCCUUCACGAUCGCUGCUUAUGAUUUGGAUAACGUCUCUGAAAAAGUCCCACGAGACAGUGCUGAAUGUGCUCCAAAACCUUCCUUUGGGUUCUGUAAUUGUGGACGAUGUGAUUUUCUUUGAUGAUAUGAUAGCAUUUCAAGGUUUUGCAUGUACCGUAUCCUCCUAUGAACUCAUAGUGAGAGAUGAUAUUGAAGAAAGGAAACUGCUGCUUUGCACUGAAAGAAUCUUUGAUUAAAUCUGUCGGCCGAGUAAUCUAACGAUUCUUUUACCACAUGUAAGCUAGUAAAUUUGCGCACGUAUUGCGUGUUCCCAGAAAAAAAAAGAAAAAAUCAACGAACUCCCUAAAUGUUAUAUUAAGCCACCUUAACAUGAGAAAGUUAAAUCACCAAAUAAUGAAUUCCUAUGAAUCUACAAGGAUAUUGUUUCAAUAUACAACGAAAGAGAAAUAUAGGGCAAGAUUUGCUCUGGUACCUUGAUGUGCAGGCGCAACUCCUGAUGCCAUUCAGCGUAGAAAUCUGGUUUCACUUAUCGGACGUUGCCAAGAACUCGAAAGCAUGACGUUGAUUUACGAAUUCAUGCCCGAUAAAAAUGUUUGACCACAUUUGUCAGGUUUGUCUGAUAUUUCUUUUUGCAAUUCUAACCAGAUAAAGGAUCUCUUAAACGCCAGCACGACACGUGUGAAGCUAUAUAUCGUCUCAACACUGUUGUUUGAUAGUUCAGGCUUUCGCAUUAAUUGGUCAAGUUACAUACUCAUUAAUAGCACCAUGGAGAUAAAAUUAACCUUUUCAGCAGAUGAGGACAGUAGUGUACAGGCUUCCACAUCUUUCAUGUUUCUGGAAUACUCCUCAUUUCUCUACUGUCCAGCAGCACACCACCCUAAUGUUUUGAGCUGAAGCCAAAGACGACAAAUCCAAUCGAUGCAGCCCAAGGUACAUAAAGUAGAUCGAUGACAUCUUUGUUCACAUUUCCACAAGUUGAGCGACGCAACACAUUUCAUCAAGUUUUUUUUCUGUCGGUGGUGCAGGGUUGGACUACCUGCAUAAGGGCUGCAAACCUCCCAUUAUCCAUAGAGACAGCCAAUAUUUUACUAAACAAGAACACGCAGGCAAACAUUUGUGAUUUUGGAUUAUCGAAAGCAUUUGUAACAGAGCAUGAUUCUCAUCUUUUGACUCGUCCAGUGGAAACGCCUAGUUAUCUCAAUCCAGAGUAAGUGACUCGAAAAUCUCCGAAUACAAAGACUAUUCCACCUAGGAAGUGGAAUAACAAUAACUGUACUAAUUUAGACCAGCACAAGAGGCCCAUACAUCUACUCAUAUACGUUUAUGUUGCGUAGACCUAUGUAAGUGCAUUUUUUUUGUGAAGGCAGCUUUGGCGAUAGUUGUACUAAUCAAAGCAACAAUUCCUCUUGAAUACUCAGGUUUCAUAUAUCUGAAAGCUUGAGCGAUAAGAGCGAUGUAUACAGCUUCGGCAUAGUUUUAUUCGAGUUAACCAUGGGCCGCCCCACCAUUAUAAGAAGUUCAGAGGGCAGCAUGCACAUACUUUACUAGGUAACUCCAUUCGUAGAAAGAGGGGACGUCCAAAGCAUUGUCAAUCCAAGGUUAAAUGACCAAUUCAACAUCGGUUCUGUACGGAAAGCGGUGGAAACAGCCUUGUCGUGUGUAUCAACGAAAGCGGUCCAAAGGGCAAACAUAAACCGUGUUCUGUCUGAACUUAAAGAAUGCUUGACCCUAGAGAUCAGUUCACGAAGAAGCCAAAGAACAGAAAAUAGUAGGAGAAGAAGUGAGUUGAAGAUAACCACAAUAGAGCUUGAUGGUCCUCCUUAUGCGUGUUAACCAUACUUCAUACAUAAGUUUAUCAUGUCCAUAUUUUUCUUUUUCUUUUUAUUCGAAUUAUGAUGUCCAUAGAAACUUGCCCAAAAAGUUCUAAAUUUAUUGCAUUUUUACCAAUUCAGUCAUAAACUUUUUAAUUAUGCCAAUUGAGUAAUAAAUAUUUUCAUAUUUUGUCAAUUGAAUCCAUCCAGUCAAUUUUAGCUAAAAAUUACUAACGUGGAUAUCAACCGUCCUACGUGACAUAACCGGCAUUGAGAUAGAUAAUUUUAAUUUUUUAAUAUGUUUUGUUUUUAUUCUUUUCUUUUUCAUUUUUUUCUUUUCUUCUCUUCUCUUCUCUUCUCUUCUCUUUUCCUUCUUUUCUUUUUUUACGACCCUCACCUGCCAUAAUAAUAAAAUAAAAUAAAAGUAAAGAAGGAAAAGAAAAUAAAGUAAAAUUAAUAAAAGAAAUUUGAAAAAUAUAUACGUCGGCGAUUUCCGAUCAAAAUUGACUAAAUUAAUUGAAAAAAAUAUGAGAGGUUUACAACUCAAGUGGUAUAAUUAAAAGAUUUAGAACUGAAUUAAUAAAAGUACAAUAAAUUAUUACUUUUUGAAUACUUUUUCCGAUUGUUGUUAAGAUAGUUUGUUAUCCGGGAAAAAAGGUAACUCUUGGUCCCAAAUAGAGUGACUCUUGGUGAUGAAACAAUGUGAUUCUUAGUUUUUUUUUUUUUGGUCGUAUUGAUUCUUAGUUAUGAAAAGAGGUAAUUUUUAACAUGAAAAGUUAUGAUAGUUUAUCAUGAAAAAUGGUGACAGUGGGGAUAAAGUUCUUACCGCCAAGAGAUGUAUUGAUCGGUUGUCUAUAAAUAUAAUCAAAUCAUUUAUGUUCAUUACAACUGUUCAAAAUAACAAUUUCUUCUUUGUAACUCUCUUCCUCUCUUUAUAUAUGCCAACUAUGAUAACACAUUCAAGGUAAAAUUUCAAAAGAAAAAUUAAGUAAUUGUUGAACUAGUUUCUCUAUCGCUUUGGUGUGUAUCUUGAAGGUAAUUUUUUUUUUAAGCCUCACAAGAAUAAUAAUGAGGGGUAAAUCGUACCUUAAGGAUAGUAAACUUCAUCACACAUCGAAGUGUCAAGCAUCUAUAAAUUAUUGCUCUAUUUUCAUCAACAUUCAAAAUUUCCCAAUAAUCUUGAGGUACUAUUAUUUUUACGGAGAUGGAGAUAGUAGCUGCAUCAACUACUCACAAUCUUCACAGAUAAGCAUUAUUGAAACUUUUGUUUCUAUUUAUAUGCUUAAGUCAUUUUUGUCACAACCUACUGUUAAACAAUGAUUUACCUAAAGUUCAACUAAUGGAUUAUUAAGUUUAACCUUAUUUUGCGCUCCCCCAAACCUAUACAAAUUCACAACUUAGGUCAAGUCAUUAGUAUGUAAAUCAAUUUCAUUUGGAGUCUCCACUAAUUAAUUUAUGGUGGGUCAAUAAAAACUCAAGUAAUACAUUGAGAAAAACACUAUACCUUACGAACUAGAAAUUGUGGAUGACACGACAUGACACUGUAAUUUAAUUAUUUUAUUUACAAUUAACAAAUUUUUAGUAUAAUGUUGACUCCUAUAUAUUUCACAAGGAGGUAAAAAUGUGCUAUUUGUAGAAAAUAUUUUUUUUCGGAAAUCAUUUAAAAAAACGACAAUAUUUUCCGAUGGUUGAAACUUGAAAAUAAACUAGAAAAUAUUUUCCCUUGUUUGGAGGAAAAUCUUAUUUGAUUUUUCUAAGUAAACAUACGCUAUUUGAGUACUAAUGAUUUGUGUGUGGGUACAUAAGGAACCCAGCACGAGUAUAGGAGUCUCAAGCCCGGAUACCAACUCCCAAGCACGAGCAUGGGCACUAGUCUUGGGUCAUCAAAAUCAAACCGAGAACUUGAUGCCUGUGCCCAACUCCCUCAUGCCCUAACCCAGGUCUACGAAGGCUAGGCCAAGUCCCCAACACCUAGGCUUGGGCCAUCAAAGCCAAGCCCCAUACCUUAGCGCUUAGGAUGGGGACCCCAAGCUAAGGUCAAUCGAGGCUAGCCCGAGGACUUCGAUACCAAUGCAUGCUUCUUGGUCCAUCAAGGUUAGGCCUCGAACCCCACGCCCAAAAUCCGGUUCCCUACACCUAGACUCAGGUCUAUUAAGGUUGGGCCUAGGACCUUAGCACCCAUACCUGAGUCCAUCGAGGCUAGGCCCCGGUUCCAAACACCCAAACCCAACCUUGACAUCAAUGGACCGUGGCAUAGGCUCGGGGGACUUAGGCUUGUGCAUAGGAGUCCGAGGCUAGCCUCAAUGAACCUGGGCUCAAAAGCCAAGGACUUGGGCUUGGGCAUCGCGGUCAAGGGCCCAUCCACAUGGUCCAUGAACUCGAUGCACUCAACCACAACCCUCCACCAGGAUUGAUCCAGACACUCAGCUAGAUCGAUUGACUCGACCACAAGAAUGAUCCUUGAAUGUCUAGGAUUGAUGCACACGGUCCAUGGACACGAUGCAAGGCACAAUACACCCAACCUUAAUGGACUCUUACAAGGGUGCUAAGGAUCGAGGCACAGACUAGAUGGACUUGGUUUGGCUAAGCCUGGACUUGGGCUCGAGUAGGGGGGCUUCCCCGCUAUCAAGGAUCUAAGAAAAAGCGUUAAGAUAUAUUUUUUUUUGUCUAUCUACUUAAAUUUUGAAAAAAUAAUCUUUGAUUUAAAAAAAAAAAACCCCCCAUUUUUCUAAAUUUAAGUUCAGAUAAAAAAAUAUAUAUAUUUUUCUUUAAAUAAAGAAAUAUUCGUUAAUAAAUCAGCUUCCUGAAGAAUUUAAAGGCGAAAAAAUUUUCUGCCAAAUAAGCUCGAGCUCCUUAACCUGCGAUCCUCUGUAUCCUUCCCCGUCCGAAGGGCCCUUGACUUUUGAACUUCGCGGGGUUUUGCGCUGACUUCUUCGUCCUCCCCUCGCUCUGAACUCUGCAAGUAAGCCCUAAAGAUUCCAUUUUUCUGAGAUUCUCUCGCCCCUUCCCUCCUUCCAUGUCAUGCAAAUAUCGGAAAUGAGAGCUUUGAGAACGCUCUGCACCCACAAUCACCUCCUCCAUCCCACCUCCAAACCCACAUACCUCGCCUCCUUCAAGCCCCUCCAGAACCCCAGUCUCUACCGCGGCAUCCACUCCACGAAUCGCCGCCUCCUCUCUCGAGACCCCGGCCUCGCGCCCUUGCCCUCGGGCUCUGAGUCGGAGGCCAGCGACGCCGCC